Molecule: long non-coding RNA, 62270 nt
Filed under: Amborella trichopoda
Lineage: Eukaryota; Viridiplantae; Streptophyta; Magnoliopsida; Amborellales; Amborellaceae
Description: long non-coding RNA (ATRI_LNC001871)
Source: RNAcentral
AGAGAGAGAGAGAGAGGUAAUACUGUAAAGCUUCUAUGAUUGAAUGAAUGCCAGAUGGAGAGGUAGAAGAGAUCACAAUAUGCAACACGAGCGGAAAAUAAAAUUAAUAGAUUGUAUUGGAUGGUAUGAUUAAUUAAAUACAACCCAAAGUACUGAACCAAAUGUACAAUCCUAAAACUAUUUAUUGGGCAUGGUUUCCAUACCCACAAAGCAAAAUGAAAGUAUAAUUGUGUAAAGGAACCUACAGAAAGCCAGAGAGGUGAUUUACACUUGGCACCAAGAAUAAAUUGGUAGAGAGGGAGAGGUUAACCUGAAAGUGUGAAAGAGAAUAGGUUAUAGAGAGAGAAAGAGAGGAGGUUUCCAUUCUAGAGAGAGAAAGAACCCAAAUGGUGCUAUUAUUUCUCUCAGCUUUGGUUGUGGGUCUCGUUAUAUGCCUUAGCAGUGCCAAAAGACCCCAUUUGUUGAGGGUACGAUGCCCUCAUAAGAGGACGCAUUCGAACUCCUGCAAAAUUCCUUGUAGUGAGAGGAGGGCAGCCCGAGCCUGUUCUCCCGCCCACAUUGGUGCAACCCGAUGGCCCGGAGGGAGCCACUGGCCCUCUCUUCAUAUCUUUGAACACCAUCAAUUCUUUCUCUCUCUUCUCCCACGCAUCACCAUUCAGUACUCUUGAUCCUUGCACACUUUGCAAACACAGCGCAAUAACUAACACAACCAAACCCAGGACUCUCAUCAUCUUUUUCGAAAACCCCAUCUCUCUAUAAUGCAAACUUUUGUGUUUCUCUCUCUGCUUUUGGCUAGCUUUUGUUUGGGUGAGUGUGGAGACAGAUUUGAGGAGAGAGAAUGGGCUGAAAUUUUUUGUUUCUCUUUUGCUUGAGUGGAGAUGGAUUUGAGGAGGGAGAGAGAGAGAGAAAGGAUGAAGGUGAAGGAGAGCUGUGGAAUGAGUUUGUGAAGGUAGAUACCCCUUUAUUUAUAGACCGCUCUUCACGUCAAUUGUCACUUUUCAACGUUAGGGUUACGGAACCUUAUGUUCUAUGGUUUUUUUAACAUUUUAUUUUUUUUAUUGGUCUUAUUCAAUACCUUUAAUUUCAUUUAAAAAUUGAAUUUUUUAGUGGGUUUAUUUUAGUUUUUAUUGUCUAGGCUACUCUAAAAGAAAACAGUUAUUUUUAGGCAUAGAAUAAAAUUAUCAAGUUGUUGAAUAAAAUUGUCUGUAAUAAAUUGGCUUAAUGCCAUUGACUACAUAAGCAACAGUGUUUUACCGAACUGGGUCUACUAAGCGAAACUUUGACUGAAAGAUACGCGGGGUAGAGACUGGACCCGAAUUUUCAGUUGCUUGAAUGGGCAACUCAUAUAUAUGCCACCUUGAUUCCCUGGUAUUUCGAAAACACCCCCUUUUGACUUUAAGAUAUGGCCGUCGUAUUAUGUCUCUCUUUGUACUCGAAUAUCUCCGGGAUCUACAUUAUGUCUUUUGUUUAUUAGACAUAUUUCUCCGGGAUCUACAUUAUCUCUCUCUGUUUUUUUUUUUAUGGGAAAAGUUUAUAUAGUGUCGAGCCUCUAAACAAUUAAAUUCGAGCCUACAUCAAAAAAUUUGAUUGUUUCGAUGUUAUCUUCAAAUUCAAAUACAUUAUCUCUCUCUAUUUUUUUUCAUGGAAAAAGUUUAUAUAGUGCCGAGCCUCUACACAAUUAAAUUCUAGCCUACCUCAAAAAUUUGAUUGUUUUGAUGUUUAAAUAUCUUCAAAUUCAUCAUCUCGACAUCAAGAUGCACGGAUAUGAAAAAAAAAUGGACUUCAAGUUUUGAAAAUAGUGUAUUUUGUAACGCACUUUUGGACCGUCAAUUUUCAAGAUUUUCAAGUUUUCAUAAAUCUCUCGAUAUACACUAUCUUUUAAGCUUUAAACUUUAUAAAUGAAUAUGGACAUAUAUUUUAAGGCUAUCAAAAAGAUAUCAGUUUCGAAACCAUAUUUCUUGAAACUAUUUGAAGGUAGGCUCUAAUUUGAUUGUUUAGAGCCUUGGCUCUAUACAAACCGCACCCUUUUUUUAUUAGAAAAUUGUUAUAGGGGACGCAUUUCUACAUUUGUAUCCCCCGAUUUAUAAAGCUUCAAUCUUAAAGGUGAUGCAAAUCGGUGGUCCGUCUAAAUGUUUUCUUCAUAAUUUUUUUAAAUUAUUAUUUAAUUUUAUUUUUUUUCAUAUUCAUGAUCUCCACAUUGAAAAUUAUAUGUCUUUAAAAUUUGGGUAAAAAACUUUAUCUCAAAAAUAGAUUUUUAAGAAAGGACUCAUUUUUAUAUGGAUUUAUUUUGUUAUUAAAAUAAUUUUGUAAUUAGGCCUGGCAACAGGCCAGGCCCAGAACGUCCCUAUUCCCCAUAGAGGCGUCCAAGUCCAGGUGCGGCCCUAGGCCUAUCCGGGCUGGGCCGGGCCAGGCCAGUCCUAUCAUGGCCCAAGCCCAAGCUUCGUGACCUGACCUAGCCCUCGAGCCGCACUGCCAUAGUUUGUGGCUCAAGCCCUAGUUUUUUAGGAUCGUGCCGACCAAGCUAGACUGGGUUGCCUGGCUCAUUGCUACUCCUUAGUUGCAGUUUGUAAGAGGCGACAAUUUUAUACAAUCAAAGUAAGGCGUUUAUCAAAAGGUGCAAUUUUGGCACUCUAUUAUGGUCUAAAAAUCUACUCGCACCCUGAAUUAUAAAAUUUGAAAAUCCAAAAAUAGGUGACAUUGAGUAUAUCUAUAAACAUUUGAAAAUCUUAAAUGAUCAAUUAAAUGGUUUUCUAGCUCCAUAAAAACCUUUUUUGUUGAAUUUUUUAGGUGAAUCUUACUUUUAUAUUAUAAGAUUGAUGCCUUGUAUAAAGUUAUUUCUUUAAAACAAAGUAAGGUGCACCUCUAAAUUUUACUGGAAGAUGUAGUUCCAGUUCUACAAAACCUUUCGCUAGCUUGAAAGUCCACGUUGAACCAUAAUUGUGAAAUUUAAAAUUCUAAAACUGAUGUAGAUUGAGCAUAUCUAUAACUACUGAAAAAUCUUGAAAUAGACGAUUUUGAUAAUUUGUUACAAUAUAUACUAUUUUUAGGCUUCCAACUUUAGUAACACUCUUUUCUACUUAAUUCUUUAGGUGUACCUUACUUGUAUAGUGUAAGGUUGUAACUUUAUAUAAUUUUUUUCACAUGCACACAUAGAUACAGUCUGAAUUUUUAUUUUUAUUUUUAUAUACAUCGAAUUGAGCUCAAAUUUUAGUUUCUAUGCUUUUUACCAUCAUGCACCUAUAAAAAUAAAAAAACUACUCUUACAAGUUUGAUAGGUAUUUUGGCUAUUUCAAUUUUUUUUUUGGAACUAUAAGACAACUUCAUUUCUUCUAAAGUAUUUUUGUGUUUUUCACAUAUGAAUGAUCUUGAGAAGUAUAGAUACCCUAAAUUUGAACGUAAUAUAUUGUAUAGAAAAAUAAAAUUUAAAUAUAAUAUGUGAUCUUGUACAAUAGGACUUCAGCAUAAAACAUAAAAUGUAAAAAACUAUUUUUUAAGGGUGUGGCUAGCAGAAGGUUCCAACAUUAGACAAACAAAGUAAGGUGCACCUCUAAAUUUUAUUAUAAGAGGUAAUUUUUAAGUAAACGGUUUUUAGAAUAGCUUGAGAGUCUAUUUUUAUCUCUUAUCAUAAACUUUUAAACUCAAAAAAUGGCUCAAAUUAAGUAGAAAUAGAAACACAUGAAAAUCUUGAAAAUGGACGGUCCAAAGAAUAUGUUGCAAGAUGCACUAUUUUUGGGAUUCAAAAUAUUUUUUUUUUUUUAUUUCCAUUUAUCUCGAUGUCAUGCUGAUCAAUUGGAGGAUCUUCUAACAUCAAAAAAAAAAAAAAAUCUUUUUUUUUAAUGGAUUUUUGAGGUGCAACUUAAUUUUAUAUUUUAAAAUUGCAACCUUAUAUAAACUUUUUCCAUUUUUAUAUUGAAAUACUAAAUUCCACCUUAUAUUUCCCUUCUUUGUAAAAUGACAACCACACGAACACUGUUAGUUAAUUCGGGGCCCGCUUCCUCGAUGUUCUACUAAAAAGGAGAACGAAAUAAGAUGGCAUGUGGGUUGUUAGCUUUCUAGUUAUAUAUUAGACACCCCCCUCAAUGGGCGCAUGUUAAAAUUGAAUAUAAUCAAGGAAAAUGGUUUGAUAGGGCUGAAGCCCUAUCAAAAUAAGUAAAGUCUCACUUUGUAACUUAUCAAAAAUUGCAAUUCAAAUAUUGAAACACCUUUAUGUCGAUUAAUUACCCAAAAAAAACACCUUUACAUCGAUUAUCUCGGCUUGAACAUUAUGGUGUGAAAAAAUUAACAUUUCAAGCUCUAAAAAUAGUAUAUAUGGUAGUGAAUUAUCUAGCCAUCUAUUUCACCCUUAAAAUAAGUGUUCAAAGAUCCGCAAGAUCCAUACCAUUUGUUGAGUUUCAAAAUUUAUUGUCGGUGUUGAAAAUUGAUUUUAAAGCCAUCAAUCAGAUUUUCAUUAUCAAAAAUGCUUUCCAAACAAAAAUUGGAGGUGAGGUUUUAUUUUGUUUUCUUAAAGCCUAAUCUUUAUAGAAACUACAUCCCAUAAUCCCAUAUGCUAAUUUUUCAUGAUUACCUCCUUUUCUUAGUGGGAACAAGGUAUAAAGUAAACAAAGGCUGCUCUCGUAAACAUCCACGUUCUGCCGUUUUAUGAUGUCCAAAUGUACAUCGUAUUCACAAAAGAGAGGAAAAUUUCCAAAGUAGAAACAAAAUUAAAAGUGGAACAAGGGUACCAUGAAAUGUAGCAAAUACUGCUCCUGUAAACACCGACAUCCUGGCUCUUGGGCAUGUCCAAAUAUGCUUCUUUAUCAUAAAAGAGAAUGGAAAAUUUCAAAACGCGGAUAGAAAAUUUUAAAAAAAAUCUCAAACUUUGCAGAGAAUGGUCAAGUUCAUUUUCACAAGCACUAUCUUUAGGAAAAUGGUAACGGACAAAAGCUCCAUGCAUUCUCAAGAUGAGAUAAUUUAAGUGCUUUGAAGGAAUAACAUCUCUGUGCCAAUUUAGGACGAUACUUGUUAGGAAGUGCGAAUUGGUUCAAGUGGAAAUCUUAAAAGAGCAAAGAAUAGGCCCAAAAGGAUAUAGUUGAAAGAAAUGAGAAAAGAUAUGGGGACUAAGAUACCAAAAUUCCUGUAGCAGACCCCAAAUAGCUAGAAAAGACUCUAAUAUUGAAGAUGAUGAAGGGAACAAACUCUCUCUGAAAAUUAUCUUGGAAUCUUUUGAAAAUCCUAGACAACAUCUCUCUUUGAAUGUUAAUUUGGGGUCUUGGUGAGUAGAGGUGGGAAUUGCCCAUGCUUGGGACGGGCAAGCCUUGGUCUUAGCUCAACCCUCAUCCAGAGUAGGCCCAAGCCUGGCCAUGCCUUGACAAGGCCAAAAAGCGAGGCCUCAAUCCAAGCCAAGUCAGGUUCAGAUAGGUUGGACCAAUCACAAUCAAAGUAAACAAAAGGAAAGCAAUGAGAAAAAGGGCAAGCUGAGCCAGCCCUAUUGUGGACCUAUCCCAAGCCUGGGCUAGACAGACCCAAUCCUCAAGCAACAUUUUGUGGUUCAAGCCCUAAUUUUUUAGAGACAAGGCGAGCAAACAACUGCUAGCAUUAGUAGUGAGAUUGAAACUUUAGACGUCAUGUUUUGUUUUUGUUGGGUGAGUGUGGCAAUUAUAGGCCUUAUGAGUACUUGUAAAAUGAAAUGAUAUAGUGAAACAUGAACUUAGUGAAAGUGUGGUCCCUCAUGAACCAUACUAAACAAACGAUAUUUGCUGAUACCGGACCGAGCUUGACGAGCUAAACCAAUUGGAUGAGAAAAACCUAUGUUACAUGGGCAUAGAAAACUAUCUGAUAAGGGUUGUAAUAUGUCAUCCUUUGAUAAGGUCGGAGUAUGCCCGGAUGAGUGAGCUGAUGGACUGUGUGACCCAUUGUGUGUAAUGGUGGCCUUUAGAGACUGGGGCCAAAGCCUCAUCCACAAGCCAUCACACGACAUGCAUAAUGAUAGUUGUUUUGGGUAAGCAAACCACCUUUUAGCGUGAAACAUAUGCAUGUGCGAGAGAUACACUUAUGCGCUAUAUGAGUUGUGGUCGCAUCAGGUCUAGAUGAUCUUGGUACGUUUCUUGUGGAGAACCUGAAAUCCACAAACUAAGAUUACGACUUUUAGAUCAUCGGCUAGAUUUUGGUGACUCACUAAUGAGCCCCUGCAUGGACUGUGGUUAAUGGGAAACACUAGGUCGGUUUGAUAAAGCAAGUGUGGACCGUAGUCCACAGUUGAAAGUGGAGUCCCUCAGCGUUUAUUUAUUUAAUUUCUAUACUAUAUGGAUCAUUUUUCCAACUAAUGAAUUUAAUUAUAUUUGUUUUUAAUGAUAUAUGAUUUUUAAAAUUAUUAUUUGAAUUUUUCUAGAUCUUUGGAUAUUUUAUUUAUCAUAUUUGGAGUUAGAACAACAGAGAUAUUGAUUUUAGAUUGAUUUAAAUAUUCAAAUUUGAUUUUAUGGAUUUCUAAAAAUCAUAUAAUUAAUUUUAAUAUUGCAUGGGAUGCCCAAUAUGUUAAUGAGCCCACCAUUGCAUGUGGGUGGGAUCCAUGAAGUACCACAUAGGGUAGCACACCCUACCCUAAUGAAACUUUCCUUGUGUUAGUUCAAACUUUGACUUGAAGAGAAAGCUUUGAAGUAUUUUGGAAACAUUUUGCUUUGACGAAGCUGUCAAAGGAUUUUUUGGAAAGCAUGAGAAGGCUUGUGCAUAACUUUGAUAAGCAUGAUAUUAUGAAUAGAAUUAUUUAAUUUAAUUUCUAUUGAUGUGAAAAAGUUUUAGGAAUGGGGGGUAAAUAUUUUAGCACCUUCCAUAAUGUUGAUUGCCCAUCUAUAGAAUGAAGGGCUCAAAUCUCUUAUUCCACAUGUCAUCCAAUAUCAAUGGUUCAUAUUCAAUCUCACAAGAAGAUGCAAACCAAUGAAAACCAUAAUCUUGUUUAAAACCUAUAAAAAUAGAUUGUCUCUAGUCAGAAUAUCUACACUUUAUCUUUUUCUCUCUCCCACUCUUAAAAAAAAUUUAUCACUCUCUUGAAAACCCAAAGGGGCAGGCCCCACUCUCUCAUCUUUGAGAUAUCUCUCUCUCUCAUCCACAUUGUAAAAGAACCCAAGGAGGAGUUGUCAUAUCUCUCAUGGUGCCUCUCAUGAUCUCUCAUCUCUCAUUGGGUUUUUUUUUUUUAGACUACAGAGUUGUAGUAGAAAAAAGAAAUAUUUCUUUCAAACUAGUUUGCUAAAGGGAUUCACCUAAGGGUUUGAAAUUUAUGAUAAAAGAGUUCAUAGUUCCAUUAGAGGGUUUGACUUAAACUUGCUUUCCCGGUUGAGAUUGAAGGUUGAUCAUUGAUCACAUGCCAUCAGAUGAUGAUGACUUGGUGUGGGGUGUAAUAAGCCCUGUUGAGAUAAUCUUUGACAUUCUCUUUUUGUUUCUUGUCAUAUUUAAUUAUAUUGUCUGUAUAUUUCCAAGCAUAAUAAUUGUGGAUAUUUUCUUUGUUUAAAUAAAAUUAGCAAGAUUUUUAAGAUCUUAGAUUUGUUAGUUUUAUUUUCUUUGAAGCAAGAGUUAUUGUAAUAAGACUACUUCUAAGUGAUCUUUUGACGAAAGAAAAGAAAAUGGGUGAAAAGAAGAAAAAUAAAAAAAUAUAUCCCCGACAAGAUCACACUCCCACCCCUUUUUUUACUUCUAAGUAAUCUUUUGCCGAAAGAAAAAAAAUGGGUGAAAAGAAAAAAAAUAAAAAAAUAUAUCCCCGACAAGAUCACACUCCCCCCCCCCACCCCCCCUCGCCCCCUAGUUGGUGAGAUUGGCCCAGCCUAGUCGAGUCCCGGUCCUAGCCCAAUUCUUAAGACACAUUUUGUAGCUUAGGCUCUAUUUUUCUAGGGCUGAACACAUAUGAAAACGAUUAUUUUGUUACUCUUUCACAAAAGAAAAAGAGAAAUACAUUUCCACAAAAAAAAAACAAAGAAAGAAGAGAGAAAAAAAAAAGUGAUUUUGCGGACUUCUUUUGGAAAAGAAGUUCUAAAGCUCAAAUAAAGAGACUGUCGGUGAGAUAUUAGAGUGAGAACGUUGCCCUAGCAUACAUGUGAAGGGCACGCCGUUUUCAAAUGAGAGAAAACAAACGGCACACGGACGGUAUAAAAUGAGGAUCCUCUCUCAAUCUAAAGCCUAGUCAUAAACGAAAUAAAAUAACAUUUUUGGCGUGCCAACGCUCGGAACCCGGGUUAGUAAACGAAGGCUUAGAUCACAAGAGGCCGCAUUUUGUAACGCGUGCGUAUCAAGCUUCCUUGGUAUGUAUACGGUUUUGACUUAAAAAUACAUAAACAAAUAGUAUGCGUCCACACUUAUUCCUCAUGGAAGAUUACUCGUUUCCAUGAAAAUCUCCAAAUUUAAUAUUUACAUAUUUUGUCACAUCCAAUCACUUAUUUUAACUUUUUUUUUUUCCUAUUUUUUAUUAUUUGAGGGCAAUUAUAGGGCCAUUGGAUGUAGGAAAAAAAUUAUAUAGAGCGAAAGCUCUAAACAAUCAAAUUAGAGCCCACCUCACAAAUUUUAUUAGAAGAGGUGGUUUUGAUGCCCAAAUACCAUCAAAUUGAUCACCUCGACAUGGACAUGAGAAAAAACUCAAUUUCAAGUUUUUGGAAGUAGUGCAUCUUGUGAUGCAUUUUGGAACCAUCAAUUUUCAAGAUUUUCAAUUUUUCAUAGAUCUACUCGAUCUACACUAUUUUUGAAGCUGUAAACUUUACAAUUAAAUAUGAAAAUUUAUUUUAAAGCUAUCACAAAGAUUUCCAGUAUUGAAACCACAUUUCUCGCCACUAUUUAAAGGUGCACUUUAUUUUGAUUGUUUAGAACCUCGGCUCUAUACAAACCGUGCCCUUGAAUGCAUUGAUAAUUGAUUAUUACAAAAAAAAAUUAACUUGAUCAUAAAUUAUUAGUUUUUUGGUAGUGUCUAUUGCAAUGUGAUUUAACAUGACCUUAUAUGUAGUUUUACAUAUAUAAGUUUAUGUUUUAAAACGCUAUUUUAAUUUUAUUCAAAUUAAUUUGUUAAAAAACAACAUAUUUUUGGCCCUACAUGAAAUUGUCUCUCGUCCAAAGAGGCUUGAGGUGUACACCAAUACACAUCAAUGGUAUGUUCUAUAUAGCAUGGGAAUUUAUAUAAGGGAGAGGUUUCUAUACUUCCCCUACAAUAUAGAAGAUAGAUGCUUCUUCAACCAUCUACCGUCUACUUACCAUUUGAUCUUAGAUCCGACGUCUCAAAGUAUUUUAUUUUUACGAUUUGUAUGAAUAUGAAAUUUGGUACGUGUCAUCUUCUCAUUGGCGCGUACCUAUAAAAAAUAUUAAAAAUAUUUUUUCUAUAAAAUAUAAUGAUCAAAAUACCCCUUAAAACUUUCAAUGGUGUUUUGAUCAUUUUAUUUUAUUGGAAAAAAAUUCUAUAUAUUUUUCGCUAGUGCAAUUUUAAUAAAGGAUUGGACGUCUAAAAUUUGGUGUCAAAACAAUUUAUAAAAAUAUAAUUAAAAAUAAAAUAGUGUAGGGAUAUGACAUUGUGAUUGGGGCAAUCUUAACCCUCCAUUCAGAAUGGAUUCUAAAUGGAUGGUUGAAUAAAGAGAAGUAUAUAAGUUUUAUGUUGUAGGAGAAACAUAGAGAGCUUGCCCUUUAUAUAAUAAGACAAUCACUCUUUCGGAGCGAGGUCGUCACGAUCCUGAUACAAAGUUUACUUUUGUUUUAGACUUUUAGCAUAGUCAAUGGGACACACUUAACUACUUAAUUUCAGACCAAAAUUGAUUUCUAAACUCCUUAUAUUAAAGGUAAACAAUCUCAUUGGCCAUAGUUCCAGUUGCCCUUGUAUCUCCAAUACCGCAUAUCACGCAUUAGUUGUGUAAUGUAGACUUUGCCUUCGUUAAUAACAUAGCAUGCUUAUUGGAUGUGUAAUACUAAUUAGUUUUUUUUUAUAAAGGGUUAGGUUUGUAUAAGGUGUCAACCUUAUGCUAUUGAAAUAAGUUGCACUUCAAAACUAAUGCUGAAAAGCAGUUUUGGUGCCGUAAAGCCUUGCGAUGAUGUAAAAUUUAUUAUUCCCUCCAAUUAUGAAAUUUAAAGUUUUAAAAAUGGUUUAAGCAGAUCUACAAACACUUGAAAAUCUUGAAAAUGGGCAGUCUAAAUAAUGUGUUAGAAGGUAAAUUAUUUUUAGAACUAGAAAUCCCCUUUUCUGAUGUCUAUGAAUUUCGAGGUUGAGAUGAUUGAUUUGAGGGUUUUCUAGCACAAGAACAACUUGCUCUAGUAAGUUUUUUAUGUGCACAUUAUUCAUACAGUAAAAAGUUAACACCUUAUAUGAACUUUUUCCUUUUAUGAACACAUGAGACUAAUUUUGUUCCCUACAUUUUGGUUUUGGGAGUCCACGAAAGUGAGAUUUGCUGAAUUUUAGACUUGGCCAUCACAGAAACCAUGGUAGCGAAAAACAAAAACAGUCUAUGAUACAUAGCUGAUGUAUGAGAAUAUCCUUAGCAAAAGUAUGGGUGACAAUCGGGUUACGUCGGGGUCUAGGUCUAGGUCCACGUGUUGAACCUGGAAAGUUGGGUCUGGCCCCUAUAGAACCUAGUUGGUUUGGGUCUGUGUUGGGUUCGACUCGACCCAUUGCCACCUCUAAGCGAAAGCAUACAACAAAGCCUAUGUCCUCUCCAAAAUUUGAAUCGACAAAAAUUGCCGUUUUAGUUUCAUAAUACAGAACAUGUUAAUAUAGGCAUGCACUUGUGUGAAACCACCCUCCCAAACUCUAUUUUGGAGACGAAUUUUUGGAUUUUGGAUCCAAAAGUUGUAAAUCUAUCAUCUUAACCCCACUAUCAUCUUGAAUAUGAAAAAGUUUGGAAUUACUAAUGUUAUGCUUUUUUCUGAGCGUGCAAUUCAAAGUUUCACUAUGAUCAACUAUUUUGGAGAUCUUGGAUCUAAGGCAAAAAUGGUUGCAUGAUAUGUGAUAUACUUCAGGUACUAAAAGCCGUAUAAACUAGGGUGGGCACAGCAAAAACCUUUUGCUCCAAUCCGUUGUUUUAUGUGGAGACCAUCGAAUUUUUAGAUGGUGAGAUCUAAGUAUUAGAAAAUUCAAAAUUUUAAUUUUUUUUUAAAUAAUCAUUCAGUAAUUUUUGAUUGGUUCCUAAAAUUUUAGAUUAAAAAAAAUCAUCUAGAUCUUCUAACAGAGGGAGUAGAAGUAAAUUAUGCUCCCAAUAUUGUAUAGUACAUAUGUGCUUUACUUUAUAUUCAUCCGAUGAACCGAACCUUGCUAUGGUAGACUUCCAAUUGGGUUGAAGGUUUUAGCCUUAUAUUGGAAAAUCCAGUGUUCGACAACUUGGUCAAGCCAACCCGGCUCACUUGAGUAACUUGGGCUUGCCAAUCCCGAGUUUGGUGGUCAAGCUUGAGGAUAUUAAAAAAAUUCAAAAGUAAUUUAUAAAAAAUCCAAAAAAAUAAUAAAUUUAUUUGUAAGACGAUUUCUCGUUUGUAAUAUGUUUCUUUAUAUUUUCUAUCAUUUUGACAAAGAAUGUAAAGUGUUUUGGCCAUGAAUACUUAUUUCUAUAUUUGCCCAUCUUUUCUCUCUCUCUCCUUCUCUUCCCUUUACCUCUUCUUCUCUUAUUCUCUCUCCUCCCUUUUUUCUCUUUCUCUCUCACUUUCUCUCUCCUCUCUCCACUCACUUUCCUUUUUUUUUCUCUCUCUGCUCCGCUCUCUCCUUUCUUCUUCUUUAUCCUCUCUUUCCUCUUCUCUCUCCUCCCUUUUUUUUCUUUCUCUCCAUCUCGUUCUCUCACAGUCAACUAGACCGGCAGCUAAGCCACCGGCCCACCCUCUCCUUUUUCCAAUUAAGAUGUACUUUCAAAUUUUAUCAUAAUAUAUAAUUUUGGUGUAAAAAGUUCUCCAGAUUAUCUUGAAAUCUAUUUUCAUAUCCAAUUAAAUUUUAAAAAUAGUUAAAAUCAUUUAGAUCUAUAAAUAUAUAAAUUUUUUGAAAAUGAACUGUCGCCAUAAUGUUGCAAGAUACACUAUUUUAUAAACUCAAACUUUUUUUUUUUUCACAUUCAUAUCUAAUUGAGAUGAUCAAUUAAAGGAUUUUUCAGCAUUAAAACAAACUUGUUCGAUCUAUUUUAGAAGUGUAACUUUAAUUCUAGAUUUUAAAGUUGCAACCUUAUAUUAACUUUUUCCUUCUUUUAUAACCCGAAGAUCAUUGCAAUUGCAUGCAAUCUUUAUUUCUUUAUUUUACAUCCUAACGACUUCUUCCGGUUCCAGGUAAUUGAAUAUGUUGUAUCCAAACCCUAAACUUCUUGAAGGAAAAAAAGCCCACCCGCUCCCCACCCGCUCAACACCCGCUCUCUAUAUCAGAGAGCUCAACCGGGGCUGAAAAGCAUCACGAAGAAGAUAAUCCGCAAAAAUCAGUGAGUUUUUUCUUUUUUUUUAAUGUUUAUUAAGCAGAUAAACCUGCAAUUUGUUAACUUUUUAUUUGUAUUAAUUUUUAUUUUUUUCAUUUUCUGUGAACUGUUAAUUUGUAUUUUUUUGUGGUUAUUCUCAAUGUAGGGAUCCAUUUAUCAAGCAGAAAAACUCGAAAUUUGAGUUUUCUGUUUAAUAUAUAUAUAUAUAUAUAUAUAUUCUGGUUAUUCUCACAGUAGAACUGUAGGGAUUCAUGUUAAUGAUUUGGGUUUUUUUUUGCUCUGUUCUUGUUUUUUAAUAGCUCAUAUCACCAUACCAUUGAUGGAUAUUUGUGCCCUUUUCUUUAUGCUUCUCUACAAUCACUUUCUAUAAUCAUCAAAUGUAGGAAGGUGAUUUUUUUUUUUCUGAUUUAGUUUUCUUUUUUUUUCUCUAUUAAUCUCGAACUGUCCCUGUUUUCCAAUAUUGGGUAUUUUUUGUUCUUUUUUUCUGAUUUUUGUGUUCUUUUUUUAUUUGUGCCCUUUAUUUGUUAUGGUGUGAUAAAUGUGCUCACGCACUUCUUCGUUUUCUAAUGAAUGGACCUGUGAGUUAGGGUUUAAUUCUAUGGUGUAUCUGCACCAUCAUUUGUAGAUCUCGUACUUAAGGUCUUGACAAAAUUGCGGUGAAGGAGUAACACCAGUAUGCUUUUUAGGGUUUUCUUAUGCUUCUUCAGUAUUGCAAUCUCUCUAUAUCUUCAUUAUUGCAAAAAUUGCGGUGAAGGAUUGGCCUCUCUCUCUCUCUCUGUCUCACAUUUACUCUUUGUCUCUUACUAGUUUCUGGGUUCGAUAGUCAUUGAAUAAUAUCCCUUCCCCAGCUUAGAAUUCAUAAUGUAGUCUUUCUCUUUUCACAUUAACUGUCAUGUGCACCAUUUUUUUUACUGGUUUACUGAAUUUCUAGUUUUAUAUGGCUUGAUAACAUUCUAUACAAAUAAACUGUGUUCCCUGCAUAACUGUUGUAUUACACUUCUAGGCAAUUUUUUUGAGUAUCUAGUGCCUCAUGGUUAUGGGGUUUGGGAGUUGUUUGUCAUUUUUUCUAUAUUUUUGUUUAACUAAUUCAUGUCACAUCCUUAUUUGAGAAACUGCCCGGAUGUCAUUUGGAUGACAGUUCACUUCAUCCAUCAACCUCUUCAAUGCCAUUUAGAAAAUUAUUACUGAGUUGUUGCGAAGGUUUUCUUCAUUAUGCUGCAAAUUGUGGCAACACUCUAUUAUAAAUAUUAGAUUCCAAUAAAAUGGAAAAGGAGAUGAGUCCCAAGGCUGUGUAUUUAAGAACUAGUGCGUGAUUUUGCUUCCAAUGAAAUAGACAUUUGGAACCCUGCUUGCUAGCUCUAUAUCCCUUGAAUUUCAUGUCACAUUUCCAAUUGGAUUUUUUCAUGCAUGGAUAAAUGCUUAUUGAUGAAGUUUAUUGCAUGAAUUAGUGAUCCAUAACUUUGUACGGUGCGGUGGCAAUAUUGAAUGUUCAGCUUUCAAACUUUUAAAUAUCUAUUUCUUAAAUAAAUGAUAUAAGUUUGCUCUUGAGGGCUGCCUGUGCAUUGAGUGAAAUCUUUAUAUUAAGAAAAUCAAUUUUCUUCAAUAUUUAUGUAAAUAUUGGUAUUCCUUGAAUCUAUUUACAUGUUUGGUAAUGUGUUGGAUGAAUGGAAGGAACCUUAUUUAAUUAUAAAAUGUUUUUUAAAAAACUGCAUUUCGCACAUCAUAUCAAUAAAAUACAUUAUGGGUUUCCAGCUUUCCCAUUUCCAAACAGGUGAAAUUACUACCACCAGAGUUUAUCAAACAGGUUGGCAGCUUUCACCCUACCAAAUCUUCACUUGCAGCAGGAGUGAUUCACAACACACUGCGGUGAAAGUUAUCAAACCAAAUCCGAAAAUCUAUGAAAGUUGCAGCAGGAGUGAUUUCCAAUGACACUGCGGUGAAAGUUAUCAAACACUACCUAAAUCCCAGAAUCUAUGAAAGUUGCAGCAGGAGUGAUUCCCAAUGAUACUGCAGUGAAAGUUAUCAACACUACCCAAGUACAAACUGAUUGGAAAUAGAGGCUUGAAGAAACCCUGCUUUCACCCUACCAAAUCUUGAAAGUUAUCGAACACUACCUAAGUAUAAACUGAGUGGAAAAUAGAAAACACUAUCUAAGUACAAACUGAGUGGAAAAUAGAGGUUUGAAGAAACCCGCCAUGGCCGCAAGCUCUGCAAACAAAGGCCUAACCACUCAGCGUUUCUCAGAGCUGGAGCCCUCUCUCUCAAAGAAAACCCUAGACGUGCUCGACACCUGUGGCUUCCAUUUCUGCACUCCCGUUCAGAGGGCCACAAUCCCUCUGCUCUGUUCAUACAAGGACGUUGCUGUCGAUGCGGCCACUGGUUCUGGAAAAACCCUAGCUUUCAUUGUACCUGUCAUCGAGAUUCUUCGGAGGAUCUCUGAGCCUCCUAAGCCCCACCAGGUCCUCCUUUCUCACCUCUCUAACUCUUUCUUUCUCUCUCUCAAUUUUUUUUUUCUUUAUAUGUAUUGAUAGCAAAGAGUGUGUGUCUUAGCUGUUUUGAACAUAAUAAUAACUGAUUAUUUGUUGCUUUUGUUCUGGUGAUUGGAUGAUUCAAGUCUUUUGGUUGUGGUUUAGAACUUUAAUGAGUUAGAGAGCAUUGGGGGAUGCAAUAUUCUUUUGUUAUUCAUUGGAAACCCUAACCCUGAUUUCUUAUUUCACUACCUGGAUUUGGAAUGCUGGAACAAUUGGGACUUCAUUUUUCUUUUUUCUUUUUUUUUUUUCCUUUGCUGAUUAUUGUGAUUUUAUUUUAUAGUCCUUCAAUUUUUUGAUUUGAUGUUUGUUUUUUUUUUCUUUUCUAUUUUUUAUAUUUUCUUCCUUGAUUUAGUAUGAAUGAAUUGUGAAUGUUGCUAAGAGUUGAUGCUUCAAUAUUGAAUCAAAAGAACAUUGCAAGCAUGUCUUUUUAAUAGAUAGUUUGCUAUCAAUUUAUGGGACUUCAUAUUCACAUAUAAAAAAAUCUGCUUGAUGUUUCUUGGUUUUUUUGUUUGACUAUUUGUAGUUUGUUUGUAGUCAUUGUUAUAAAGCAUUGGGGUCCUUUUAAUUCUUCCCGCCCUGUUUAUGGCUACUUAGAGCCCCAAAUGAACGGGUAUUAAUGAAUUUACUUCUAGGUAAUUAAAGUUUCUGUUUCUUCUUUUUACUGAAGUUUUGAUACAAAAUGUUGCUAUGCUUAUGGUUUAAAUUAUGUUUUUUUAUGGUAUCUGCAUAAAGUGAUUCAAUAUGUGACUCAGUUAUUUCUUUUCGAAGGUUUUGGGGAUAAUUAUUUCUCCGACGAGAGAGUUGUCAACGCAAAUUUAUCAUGUUGCAGAGCCUUUCAGUUCAACGCUUCCAAAUUUUAAGGCUGCACUUCUUGUUGGGGGUUCAAACAUAAAAUUGGAUGUCGAAAAAAUAGAAGACGAGGGAGCAAAUUUAUUGAUAGGUACACCUGGGAGGCUUUUUGACAUCAUGGAGCGUUUGGAUGUCCUUGAUUUUCGGAACCUAGAGGUGCUUAGUCUAAUUUUUUCCAUCAUUUUAAUAGCAUAGAAUAGUUAGCUUUGCUUCUUUGCUGUUAAAAUAUUGUACAAGUGCGUGGCGAAAUAAAAAAUUGAGAGAAAAAAUGGGGAUAAAAAUCUACAAAAUUUUAAAUUUUUUGAGUUUGGGGUUCAUACAAAUUGUCUGUAUGAUGAAGGGGCAAAGUGGUUUCGGGGCUGUUAAAUAGCCUUGAUUGAGUUACUAAUGUUUCUUUGAACAACGCUUACUGGAAUAUCCAUUUUAUGGGUUUGUUUAUUUUACAUUAUAAUUAAAGAAACAACUCAAAAUAAGAAGUUGGCUUGAUGGGGUAGUUCUAUUUGUUGUUUAAAAUUCUCGUGGUAUGAUUCUUGCAUUACUUUGAUCAAUGAAACAGAUAUUGAUUCUUGAUGAGGCGGAUAGGCUUUUGGAUAUGGGGUUUCAGAAGCAAAUAACGUCCAUCAUGUCUCGCUUGCCAAAGUUGAGAAGAACAGGCCUUUUCUCUGCAACUCAAACUGAGGCUGUUGAAGAACUCUCCAGAGCGGGUUUGAGAAAUCCUGUGAGCAUUAAUGUUCGGGCAGAGGUUAAGGCACAUGGUGAGUUGGCUCCUUCAGCAAAUGCAUCAUUUUCCAAGACACCUUUUGGACUUCAUAUUGAGGUAUUUGCUGUUGCACGAUAUUCGUUUGUUUUAAGUCAGAGUAGUUUUUGCUAGUGAAAGUUUAAGCUAUGGUUAUACAUGUAUUUGAAAUGUUUGUUGUCAUUGUUAUAAUACUAAUACUAUUAUUAUUGUUGUCGUUCUUAUUGUUCUUAUUAUUGUUGUAUUGAUAGAUUUUAAUAAUAUUAUCAAUGUUAUUACUAUUGUGGGUUGUAAUUGUCAUUGUUGUUGUUAGUGUUAUUAUUAUUAGCAUCACUGGUAAGUACAUUUCUUUUUGGUAAGCUGAUAGGUAACUUUAAUGAGGGACUGAUUUUGAACUCUUGACCUCUCUCACUGAGGUUCAUUCUGUUUUCUAUUGUGGGCCAAAGCAUAUAGUAAUGUGAUAUUCUUCACUCUUCUUCAUAGAAACUUGUCCCUGCCGUCUAACCCAGUACUGCUACUUGUCAUCUUUGGUGAUGAACUUGAUGAAAAUAUCUUGUUUCCAUCAUCAUCAUCAGAACCUUUUCCUAACUACUAACUAAUUUAUUUCCUUUGGUUUUGCAGUAUUUGGAAUGUGAAGCAGAUGAAAAGCCCUCGCAGCUUGUGCACUUCUUGUCCGAGAAUUCCUUCAAAAAAAUUAUUAUGUAAGAUCAUGUUUAUAAUGCUAGGUCUCCAAUAAAUUUUUUGUUGUUCUGUACAUAAGCCAAAAGAUUAUAUGAUCCUGCAGAAGCGUAUCUUGUGUUCACUCCCUCGGGUAAAACCCUAUCUAGGAAUACUUUUAGGAUCCCAAAUUUUGGGUAUGUAAUGUCCUGACCUUGGACAGCCAUAUCAAAGUGUUUCAAAAUUCAAUAUCCAUAUUAUUUGUUGCGAAUGCUCAAUUGAUCAUUAUUUGUUGCGAAUGCUCAAUUGAUCAUUAUAAAGUGGAUUCCAAAAUGUCAGGAUGAGAAAAUCCUCUUAAGUAGUUUUUUGCCUGAGGUAGUACAUUACAAUGUGCUCUUGUGGGAGUAUUCUAUAUAAGCUGAUAUAUAAUGUGAUUGAAUUUAAAGCUUAUCUUAUUUAAACAUGUUGCUGGUGUUCUUAUUGUUUCCAAGAGUCUUAUUUAAACAUGUUCCUGGUGUUCUUAUUGGUUUCCAAGAGUCUCUGAUUCUGAUAUCUCUGUUUCCAAGAGUCUUUGAUUCUGAUAUCUCAAAAUGCCCUUGAAAUGUAGAUAUUUCAUGACAUGUGCUUGUGUUGAUUAUUGGGGGGCGGUGCUACCUCAGCUUGGGACUCUUAAAGGAUGCACUUUGAUUCCUCUUCAUGGGAGGAUGAAGCAGGUAUCGCCAUUGAUAUGAAUUCUAGUGUCUACCAGUCUCUUACUUUAGUAGGUUGCAUUGUCGCUGCAAUUCUCAAAUGAGUAUAAAAAAUAGUGCAUUACUCUGGAAAAGGGGUUCUGAUGCUCCUCAGAAGAAAAAUAUUUAGGAUUGAACACUCAUGUCAAAUAUGGGGUGUCUUGGGUGUUAAUAAAUGACAUUCUAUGGGGUGCUAUGGUCUGGCUUCCAUUAGUGCAGUUUCGUAGAGGACAUGGCAUUGUUUUUUAUUGCUUUGGUUAAACUAUGUAAGAUUUUAGUAUGUAGGACACUCAUUUGUGGCUUAUUGAGUUACCUUUUAUUGACAAAGCCUCUCCAAGUUAUGGUGUGAAAAUGUUCUUGAUGAUAAAAACAUAUUAAGUUCAUUGUUUUGAUUGGGUUAUUCUUUAAUUUCUACUCUUUUAUUUUCCUUGAGUGGUGAAGAAGGGUAGGCUUCGGAGGAAAUUCAUCCGGGUUUGAAUUUCAUUGACAAAAUAUGGGGUGUUCUUUAUUUUGUUUUUGGGUUGGAUCUCUUGAAUGGAUUUUGAAAACUAUUACUCCUUUGCAUCCUCUUGUAGAUUGUGAGGGAGAAAGCAUUGGCCUCUUUUACAGCACUUUCAAAUGGUAUUCUUCUAUGCACAGAUGUUGCAGCGCGAGGACUUGAUAUUCCGGGUGUUGAUUGGAUUGUUCAGGUAAAGUAAUCAUGGAUAUAUAUAUAUAUAUAUAUAUAUAUAUAUAUAUAUUAUGCUGUUAACGGUAGGAUAUUUAUUCUUAUGGCCAGCCAAUGAUGGAUUUCCCCAUUUGCCCAAGUGCAUCCUUGGAUAGUUUUGUAGUGAACCGUCAUUUGUACAUGGCUUGGGCACCUGGGUGUUACAGCAUGAAUGCUUCCACUUCUUUAGUACCAUAUUGUGUUGCUCACAUAGUCAUUCCCUCUUAUUUGAUUCUCCUACUUUUGAUCUUUCUUUCUCUACCACAUCCUAGUGGAUUGAAGCUUCAUCAAGAAACCCAAAUUGUAGCUAGGAGUGGGUUGUAAACUUAUAAUGAUUCUACUUAUCCUGAUGAAUUGGAUUCGAGGAUUGAAGGACAUUUUUCUUGAGAACACAAAUACUACUAUGGGUUUCAGUGUGGAACACCUUUGCAUCAGUCUGAAUCAAUUAUAUAUUAAAGAACUCGGGUGAUAUGUUGGAUACUUUGUCUGCAGUAUGAUCCUCCUCAAGAUCCAAAUGUUUUCAUACACAGAGUGGGACGAACUGCAAGGAUGGGUAGAACUGGCAAUGCCAUUGUUUUCCUUUUACCAAAGGUUUGCUUCACAUGCAUGGAUAAUUGCCUUUACAUAUUUUAAAUUAGCUAUUCUUUAAGCAUAUUCAACUAUGAAAUCUUGGUUCCACACAGGAGGAUGCUUAUGUGGAGUUCCUCCAGAUAAGAAGGGUUCCACUUCAAGAAAGGAAAAAUUCAAAUUUCCCCCUGGAUAUAAUCCCUGAGGCAAGUUGUUACAACUUUAUCCUUACUUGAUGUGUACAUAAGCAUGCUAUUUUUUAAUGCUCUUUUUAGUGUUUUAGGUUGGAUCCUUUUUAUACAGAUCGUUUUUUCAGCGUUCUGCACACUGUUUUGUGGAUGUAGACAAGGUGAAUUUUUUGGGAACAUGAUUAUUAGAAAAAAAAUUUUAUGUUCCAAUUUCCAUUAACAAAGAUGCCAUGUAAUCCAAGGAGUUCAUGCUCAUGGUCUUCUUGUAAUGUUGGAACAUAGAGAUAGUUACCAUGCAUACCCCGGAAGUCACAUCAUUUAUGUCAAAACUUAUCGAGAACUUUGUAAAUCUUAUUAUCACCAUGAAGGACCAUGGAAAAUUUUGCAUUAUUUGGAUUAUACUUUUAAGUGGUUCAGUACUUAAAAGGAUGGUGACAUUAGCCAAAUACCCUUGGAAAUUCAGUCUGGCAGUUUGCAUGUUCCAUCACGUUGAGAACCAUAAAUGCUAUGCCAACAUUUAAUUUAUUGUUUCAUUGUAUACAGUGUUUUCUGAACCUCUAUUUUAACAUGUAUGGCAACUACAAUCUAGAAGUCAAAACUAUGAUCUGGUUUGGCUGCUUCUUUUGAAGUAUUUCUUAAAUAGGAGUCAUGUAAUUUUUAAAUUUGUUUUGGCAGAUACGUGCUGCUGCAAAAAAGGACCGUGAUGCCAUGGAAAAGGGACUGAGAGCAUUUGUAUCAUAUGUUCGGGCUUACAAAGAGCAUAUUUGCUCUUAUAUUUUCAGGUUUGUUUUUCUUCUAGUCAAUUUAAUGAUACAAGCUUUUAGUUAUCAGAAACUCUCCAAUGCUCAUAUUUAUUUGUUCUCUUUUAGAUGGAAGGAGCUGGAUAUUGGUAAGUUAGGCAUGGGUUAUGGCCUACUUCAGCUCCCUUCGAUGCCAGAGCUGAAGCGUUAUUCCCUGUCAACCAACAACUUCACACCUGUAAAUGAUAUUGAUUUAUCAGAGAUCAAGUAUAAGUAUGUCCCUUUCACUUCGUCAGGCCUACUGUUAUAUGUCUUGUGCCUAAGUUUAUUUCACUUGAUGUUUGAAAGUUUUUAAGAAUUGUGAGUUCAUCAGCACACUUAUUCAUUUGAUCAUAAUAGAAGUUUUGGAAAAAUAUAUUAUAACCCAAAUAGGUUAUGGAAAACCUAGUUCACUGGGGUCAUUGCAAUCCCAUGGAAUGAUGGAUGGUGAUGGAAAGAGAAUAGGAGAUUACAAUUCAGUCACGUCCUGUUUCGGGUGGGUCUCACUCUCCCUUAUCAUCCAUCCUUUUCUUGGGUAGUGAUGACACGAUGAGAACCAUAGACUCUUGGGUCAUAACCAUUGGAUGACACAUGAGGCACAUGUGAUAGAGUGGGUGGAAGGACCAACCAUUAGGAUCAUGUCCUGUUCUUCUGGUCGUCCAUCAUUUUUGUGCCCCUUUAGGUAUAGUAUCAGCAUUGUCAUCCAUGCUUUAUCCCAACUACAGGAUUCAAGAAAUAGAUGUGGCAAAAAUUUCACACUGGCUGCUAACCUAAUACAACCCUCCCCCUUUCUAUGGGCUUGGAAAUUGGAACUGGCUUGACCGGUUUGGGACCUCCUGUGGUGGAGUUAAGUCCUAUCCAUAGUUAUUGGAACAGGGUUUAAAUAAGUUUAAUCUGUUAAGUAAAUGGAUUCAUUUUUUUUUUGUCUUCAUUAACUUUGGAAGCCUAGGAGAAUUGAAACCAUUCAAUUAGAUUAUUCUCUUUGAUCAUCGAAACACAGAGAUAAAGCUCGUGAGAAACAGAGAAAAAAGAAUUUGUCAAGGAAACUGGAGAUUGCUUCUGAACCGAGGCCCAAACCCAUAAAGCCAACUAGUGAUACCAAAGGAGAGAUGAAGAAGAAGACACAAAGGCAGAGGCAUGCUGUUCAAACGGUCGAAGAUGAAGAAGAGAUGGAGAGAGAGUAUCGCCUUUUGAAGAAGUUGAAGAAGGGUGCUAUUACUGAGAGUGAGUUUGCAAAGCUAACUGGCAUGGAUGAUUGCUUGGAAGGAGAGGGUUUGCUGGAAUCCGGCAUUGUGAGCCCCGAAGCCAAAACCAAGAAUAGCAAGCAGAGAAAUCUAGUGGGAAAACCAGGGAAAUCAAAGAGUCGAAAAGGGAAAUCUGGCAGUAAAAAAAGUAACUCAUUUUUGAGGCAGUGUUCCAGAGUUUAAUCUGAAAAAGGCGGAGAGAUUUUUCAGGAGUUUAAAUAAAAAAAAGCAUGAGUGAUGAGCCUUUUUCAUCUAUUCUUUUAUUUUAUUUUUUUAUCAUUUUAUUGUCAGGGGAUAUGAAGGUGGGAUUUAGAGUAAGUGAUGGUUUCCGUAAAUUAUGAGCGUUGUUGGUCCUUUCCUCUCAAAUUGAAAUUUUGCGGUCUGCCCUUUAUAGCAAUCUUCUGUAUAUUAGAUUAUGGCUUUGCUCCCUUUGAUUUAGAUAACCCCUAAUUUUUGGGAGUUAGUAGCAUUUUAAGUCUACUGUUACUCGUGGAUUUGAUAACUCUCGUUAGUUAUUCUUUUCCCUUUAGAUGCAUGAUGAAAUGAUACUUGUAUUUAUUUUUAAUUUUGUUUGUAAGGAUACGUGAUUUUUUUGUUGAUUUGAGAUUUUGCUUGUUUUACUCAAUUUUGCCAUUCCUUUUGACCAUUUUCUGAUAUAUUGUACUGUGCUCCCAUGGGAGCAUACUCUAAAUUUACUCCUUCAGUUAAAAGUGAGGACUCAAAUUUUGGGAACCACCUAAUAAUUAGCAGACGGCUAUUUUCAAAAAAUAAAAUAAAAUUGGAUUUUGAGUUCUCCAAAUACUUAGAUCUCACCUUCUAAAAGUUGGACGGUCUCUAUGAGAUAUUAAAUUUUUUUUUUUAAAACCUUUAUCUAAGGGUAAAAUCUUAAACUAUCAAAUUAAGGCGUGUUUCAAAAUUUUUCUAGGAGAUGGUUCGAUGUCUAAAAUUUUUCAAAUCCAUCAUCUCGACUUCAAGAUUUAUGAAAAUGAGAAAAAAUAGAUUUUAUAUCUUGAAAAUAGUGCAUCUUGUAAUGUAUUUGUAAUGUAUUUUCUGGACUAUCAAUUUUCGAAAAUUUUAAAUAUCUAUAAAUUUAUUUGAUGUACACCAUUUUUAAAGCUUUAAAAUUUAUUGUUAAAAAUAAAAAUAAGUAUUCAAACCGUCACAAAAAUUUAUUGAAAUGACAUUUUAGCGGUGCGACAUUCCCUCUCUCCCUUUAAAGCCAUAUGCUCCAUUUUCUUUUCCUUCUCGCCACCUGCCCUUCUCUUCGUUUCUACUGGACAUGUGCCAUCCUUGACCGUGUACUUCUGUCUCUACUCUAUUAGGCCGUUUCUCUCUCCCCUGGUUUUUUUUUUUUGUUUUUCUAUCCCUAGAGCAUAAUUCGGGUGGGUAAUGGACUCGCCUGAGUAACUCGGUUUGAUCAAGUGCCUUGGCCGUGGCGAGUCUUCACACACUGUUUGCACAACAAAAUAAAAAUGUAGAAUUGUUUUAAUUAUUUAGUCUCAUAUCCCAUAUUUGAAGUUAGGGUAAAUAAAUUUCCAGAAUGAAGUAUUUUAUAACAAAAAGAGAUGAAUAUUCAAUAAAAAAACAAUCCUUUUUUAUUUAUAACACGUCGAACAUGCCAAUUCAUGGCUACACUUUUGUAAUUGACGUAGGUCACUGCAUUCGCCACCAAUCAAAUAGAUAUACACAUAUCGAGUUUCCAUCAUUAGAGACACAGAGAAAGGGGGACUUAGAAGAUUUUAUUUAUCUAAUGCAUGUUUAAGGAAGGUGAUUAAUGGCUUCUACCCUAUCACCGGCACACGUGUGACAUUGCCCACGAUGAUGCCGGGUUCGACCCAAACCACGACCCUAUCGCACCGAAAUUCUGGAUCAUCAAGAAUGAUUCCUUCGGGCAGGACUACAGCCUUAACGGUCGGAUUCUCCUUCUCGAUAGUUGCAGCUGCAAUCUCGCCGUUCACGCCCACCAAUUCCGGCCAUGAGCUCUUCCCUGUCUCAACAAAUCAUGUUACUUUGUUAAUACGUGUCACAUAUGAAUGUAAUGAUCAAAUCCUAAGGGGAGCUUGGAUUGAUCGAGUAGGUACCAUGAAUCGUGACUAAAGUUAAAAAUCGGCAGCUUUACGAGUCAAUAACAAUGUGAAAAUGGAGAGAGAACAAUAACAAACAAAAUCAAACACAGAGCAAAUAUAAAUGCAAAGAACAGAGAAGGAUACUGGUAUUCAUGUAGCUUAACGUAAAUGUGAUUACAUACAUGUGCAAAGAUGAUUUCAUAUGCAUCUCCAAAAGGUGCAGGCCUGGCACAUUGCUAGCUCUAAUAACUAAGAUAACCCCAAAGAAACUUAUUUAUAUGCUGGAGAAUCAUCUGGCAGCUUCAAAAGGUGCAAGAUGAUUCUUCUGAUAAAUUUAUCAUUUUAAACAAAAAUUAUAUAAAGAUCUUAUACAUCAUCUCAAGCAUUUUAAAGGUGGCAACAAGCUGGGUGGCCUGGCUCAUCUCGCCCCGGUCAGCUCAGCCCUAAAAAAUUAGGGCUUGGGUCACAAAGUGUGGCCGAGGGUAGGGCCGGGCAGGCCCGGCACAUUGCUUGUUCUAACAACUAAGAUAACCCCAAAGAAACUUAUUUGUAUGCUUGAAAUACCACUAUAAGUCCCCUGAACCCGCACACUAGAGCUAAGGAACGGGAUCCAAAAUGGGAUAGAUGCUAUGUUACAAUAACUUCAAGAAACAGUAGCGCACAGAAAACAAAAUAAUAAUAUUCCUCAGUAAGGCCUCAGGAAAAUGAACAAAAAUAAAGAAAAAUUAUGAUUUUCUAGAAGUGUCAAAAUGAUCACGAAAUUCCUGUUUCAAAAUGUGUGCACUGUCAACACCACACGUGCGAGAGAUCUAUGCAGGGAGUGGCCUCUCUUUCUCUCCAUGCACGCCAGAAUGAGUGGUAAGGGAUAUCUUUACCUUGACACUCUGAAGCCAUGUCUGAACCUUUUCUUCUUUCUUCUCUAUCUCUAAAAAUCCUUAUAAUUGUGUGAAAGUAAAUCUCUCCCUUUCUGUAUUUCUCUCUCUGAAAGUCCUUUUAAUUGUGAGAGAGUCACCAAUAUUUAUAGCCAUUGGAUUAGUUCUUGAGGCUGUACAUUAUUGACUGCACACCGCCAUAUUUGAAUAGUCUCCUGUUGCUUCACAUACGAGGCAUAUGACUCAAUAACUUAUCCAACUUAGAUGGCUAUUCUUACACUAAACAUCCAUGAAAAGAACACGCCUUCUCAUUUCAAUUUCAAGACUCCUCUCCAUUUUUUUUUUUGAAGUUUUUUCUUUUGAGGAAUUUUAAACAUUGCAUUCAAAGCCUAUCUCCUCAUUAAAUUGGCUUUAAUAUGGAGUUUAGGUGACAUGUUGUGGGUAGGUUGAAUGAGGAUAAAUGAUGCAUUAUCCUUAUGAAAGAACUCCACCUGUGUGUACAUCUUCCACAAGCAAGCUAAGGAUAUCCAUAUUUUUAAACACAUCAAGGACCAAACUCAUUUUGAAGAUAUUCAUCCACCUCACCUAAGUUUAUCUUGCCUCUUCAUGUUUGGUUUAUUUGGAAAUCAAUUUUUCUAGUCAUAAGAUUUCUAACCUUGCAAACUUGAGGUGGCAAUAAGCCAGGUGGCCCGGCCCUAAAAUUAUAGGGCCUGGGCCACAUAAUGUAGCUCAAGAGCCAAGCUAGGGUUGGGCCACAAUAGCCCAAGGGAUACGAUAAACUCAAUUUGUAGGAAUGGGCUAAAGGCUAGGUGGUCAAAGUGGUGGGUCGCUACUAGUUUAUUAGAAUAAAACAAAAAAGCAAAAAAAAUAAGAAGAAGGAAACAUCAGUUUGUGCAAUUUUAAGGAACAUAUUCAAGGCUAGGUUGCAAGGGUGGCAGACUGCCACAAUAUGACAUCUUGAGUUCUAUUCCAACCAUAGGUAAGAUUUUCCUUCCAGUAAACUAUAGGGUUACUAGAAAGGUAGGAUUAUAUAUUCCAAGAGAAAAAAAUAUUAUUGAAUUCUCACUUCCGACUUUGGAACUAACAAAGUAAUGUGGGAGCACAAUGUUACCAGAUAGGUAGGGGUGGAAAUGGAUCCGUUCAGAUCGGGGACCCUAUGGGUAGGAUCCGGGUCCAAAACCUAGACCUGAAUACUAUUAUGCUCUGGGUCUAGGUCCGGCCGAACCCAACCCGUACCCGUAAACCAUUGGAGAUAAAACACUUGACUUUAAGCCCUAUUCGUUUGGGUGUAUUAAGGAUCAUAUACAAUAAGAACUCGUAGUUAUCUUUAGCUAUGAAACGACAAUGCAGAUGAUUGUGACCUUGUUGCUAAUUACAUGGCUAUAUGAUGAUAAAAAAAAGAGGGCAAAAAAGAAAAGCUCAUAAUCAUAUGGUGGCAAUGGACCCGACCAGACCAAGGACAUGAUGGGUAGACCCUGGACCCGAUGGGUCCGGGUCCAAAACCUUGGCACGAAUGCUAUUGGGUCCAUGUCCAGCCAGACCCCACCUGUUGCCACCCCUACAGAUAGGCAUGAUGGCCUUCCUGUGUCUUAUAAUAUAAUAUAAUAAUAUACACAUUAGGAUACAAUAUUUAGCCAUUUUGAUCCUUUCAAAAACUCAUUUCAGUGUUUAAAAAAAGUUGUUAGGUAUACAUAGUGUUGUCAAGUGGGAGCACAAUGUACACUUAUUCUUGCAACAAAAGAGCUACAUACAAGGAUCUACUGGACAAGAAAUUUGGAGAAAUUAAAAAAAGUUAAAGUUUUCUAAACAGCUAGAUCUGAGCAUCCAUAAUUGGGAUGGUUUGUUUAAUCUUAGGAUGUUAUCUUUUUCUCAAAGAGUAUAAGUUUUAAUUUAAUUAGAUUUAUUUAUUUUUUGAGGUCGGUUGCUAGGUUGAGGAGUCACAUCCCUAAAAUUUUGAGUCCUAAAGGUACUUCUACAAAGGGCUUUAUCUGACAGAGUAAAAGGAUGAUAUGCUCCCUCGGGAACAUAUAAUAUUUUGAUAAACUGUUGCAUAUGACUUAAUUAAAUAAGGAUUACCUUGUAAAUAAGACUAGAGAAAUCACCUUCAACUACCAGAUAGAAAUAGAAAACAGGUAAUGGAGAGAAUGGGGCAGGAUAAUGUUUGGGGAACCACUAUUCUUUGAUGGACUUGGAUCUUUGUGGAUUAAAAAUUAGGAUUGUUAGUUUAAUAGUUGAAGAAGGAUAGAUGGUGAGCCUGUCUUUGAGGGAUUGUGAGGCCUUAAUCUCACAUUCAACGCGUUAAGAAGAUAAUUUCCCAAGAGGCAUCUGUAUGACAUGGGAAGGCGUAAGGUUUAAAUGAAUGUUUAAUAAAAAGUGAUGUGUCGAUAUAUCUGUCGGUGUUAAUUUUCCACGUUUAUGUAUGGAUAAGGACCACCUGGUGAUUGUUCAAAUAUGGGGGCUGCAGUCAAUGGCGUGCACCCUAAAGCAAGGGAAACAGCACUAUAAAUCUCUGAGCUAACACUCGUAUCCUGCAUUACAAGGAUUCACAAAAACUGAGAGACAUGGCUUCAGAGGACUGCCAAGGUAAGGAUCCCCCAUUUACAUUUACAUUAAGAGAGAGGCCCGGUCUUGCAUUGCCUGUUGCACCUAUACUGCGGGUUUGGGCCUGCACAAACCCAGUGCAUGCAAAAUCAGAAACUCAUUUUCGUCAUUUCCUUUUCCUUAUCAAAUUACUUUUGUUGAAAUAUAUCCUAACUAUUGAAAUAUGAUAUACGGAUUAUAUUGUUAUCCGAAUCCCAUAUUUUGGGUAACUAGAUGUAAAGAAUAUUAUGAUGAUAUAUUUAACAGAUAUUUAAUACUCGAUGAAUGAAAUAAUGUGCACAACUGAAUAACCCUUCGUAAGUCCAAAAGACCCAACCACAUAAAGCUUUAUUUUCUUCUUCUCUUCUAGCCUUUUUCUUCUUAACUUAUUCUACAACUUCCUUCAUGGUUAUCCAGCAGUUCUGCUCAAUGGGACCGGAACGUAUAUUUGGUUCCACAGGCAAAACCCAGACUUCUAUUAACUGAAUUUUUUUAAAUUUUUUAUUAUAAUUAUAAUCAAUGUUAAGAUAAAAAAAAAAUUGAUUUGCAACGAUUAAAAUCCCAUGGUCGAUGGUGUGAUUUGGUGCUGUUUAUGAACUCCAGAUCCUUUUUCUUUUAAAUUGAUUUUAAAGAUGAAUAAAACAUUACUCGAGAAGUAUAGAAUAAAACUAGUCUUUUAAAGAUGGUGUUUUAGUUGUGGGGCCGAAUGUGCAAUUUGGUUUCUUGGGAUCACCAAACCCUUGUUCCUGUAAUUGAUUUCAAAAAAGAAAAACCUAUACAUUUUGUUUCAACUUCAAAAUGCCUGUAAAAUUACGCAUGAUUCCUUUUUUAUAUUAACUUGAGAUUCGGAUUUAAAUGUUAUGGGAUCUGCCACUCUGAUCACCUAUGCACCGUUCCUUUAACAUCCAUCGGUCUUUUAGAACUCAAGCGAUUUAAGUGUAAAUAAAUGGACAUAAUUUGCAGGGAAGAGUUCAUGGCCGGAAUUGGUGGGAACCAACGGUGAAGAUGCCGAGAAGAUUAUCGAGAGGGAAAAUCCAUUGGUGGAUGCUAGAAUCGUGACCGAAGGAUCCUCCGUUGAUCUGCAAUUUCGGUGCGAUAGGGUCUGGGUUUGGGUGAAUGAAGAUGAGACUGUCACACGUGUGCCCAACAUAGGCUAGAAGCCGUAAACGAUUUAUUCAGUUAUUUCUUAGCAUUUGGUUUCUAAGUCACGUGUGUGUUUAUGAAAUAAAGGGGAGCUCCCCAUCUCCACAUGUAUCUAUUUAUUCUGAUUAUCGUUGAUACAGUUAAUGUUAUCGUAUCAAUUUAGUGCUUAUUGUGAAAAGUAGACCACCAUGUCCUGAAAAUUGGAUUUAAACCUGCCAUCACUAUGCACGUGCGUAUAAUCCUGAAUAGUACGGACCAACCAAUGGAGAUUCCACUAUUUUUCUAACAGGCACGCGUGUGAACCACUUCGUGGGCAACUUCAGUGUUAUUAAAACUCAGCAAAUUAGCCAAGUGUGAUAUAUAGCUAAGUUUACAAGGAAAAAGUUUGAGGCUCUAGACAAUCAAAUUAAGGCGCACCUUACCUUAAAAAUUAACCGGAAGAGGCUCUCAAAUCGAUUUUCUUGACUUCAAGAUGUAUGAACAUGACAAAAUAUGGAUUUCAAGUCUAGGAAAUAGUGUAUCAUGUAAUACAUUUUAUGUAACGUCAACUUCAAAAUUAUCAAGUGUUUAUAAAUAUGUUUGAUCUACAAUAUUUUUGAAGCUUCAAAUUUUAUAGUUAAAUAUGAAAACACAUUUUAAGCCAUUACAAAGAUUUUUAAUGCUGAAAUAACAUCUUUCGACACUAUUUCAAGUUGCGCCUUACUUUAAUUGUUUAGGACCACUACCUCAUACAAACCCCACCCAUUUUAUCGUGGGAUUGUAUAGAAUGAGAUCAUUUAUUAUUGAUACAAGGAGAUCAUGCUCGUGUUCAGCCUUUAGAUGCGAAAUACAAUAGAAGUUUUAUUUUGGACUUUGUGCUCAAUCAAUGAUUAAACCUUAAUCACCCGAUUUCAUAUCCAACAGUCAUUAAUAAUUUUGACCGACUUGCAUAAAAAAUAAAUUGUCUCAUUAUAUACAUUUCCUUUUAUAAUAUAGUGUUUUAUAAUUUAUAUUAGGUUUGGUUAUAAAUUGUAACCCUCUAAUUUUUUUUUAAAUAAAUUUAUUAUCAUGUGAUGAGAUGAGACUCGACCUAGUCGACUUGGACCUACUCAUCCUCAGGCUCGGCUUCUGGCUGAGGCAAGUAUUCCCCCAAGCAGAUUGUACAGCCACCUGAAAAUUAUGAGGUGCACAUUUUCUUAUUGUGCUCCAAAUAGGUGUACAUUCUCUCUCUACAGAUGGAAACUCUCUCGCUCUCUCUAAAUCCAUUUCGUCCUUCUCUCUCUAAGACCAUCCUCUCCCUUUCAGAAUUUCCCCUAAUCUGCACCUCUAUCCCCUGCUACCUCUCUCUACGAUCUACCUUUCUCUGAAAGUGGAAAUGACAAUAGGAAUUGCAUAGACCGAAACUUUAGGCAUGAGCAUCAUGUCUUCUCUUCCUUUUACAACUCCAUCAAGCGGCCGCCAUGGUCGGAAAAGCCCUAUUCUCGCUGUUUUCAUCCCUCUCUCUCUCUCUCUCUCACAGUUCCUUCAUCUUCUCUCAGCCGCUCCCUCUAUCUUUUUUCCUCUCUCUCUAUCUUCCUCUCUCAGCCCGCCUCUCUCUCUCUCUUGUCCCAAUACAACAAAAUAAAAAUAAAGUUUAUAUAAAGUUGCAAACUUGAAAUGUAGAAUUAAAGAUGCACCUCAAAAAUCCAUUGGAUAAGCUUAUUUUAAUGUUUAAAAAACUUUCUAAUUGAUCAUCUUAAUAUCAAGAUGUAUGAAUAUGAAAAAAAAAAAUAGAUUUUGAGUCCCGGAAAUAGUGUAUCUUGUAACACAUAAUCUUGACUGUCUAUUUUUAAGAUUUUCAUAUUUUUAUAGAUCUACUUGAUUUUAAUCAUGUUUUAAGUUUAAAAUUUUAUAAAUAGAGAUGAAAAUAGAUUUAAAUUUUUUUUGAGGCAAGUCUUAAUUGAUUUGUACAACCUUAUAGAAACCACACCUUUUAAUUAUUUAGUUUCACUUCACAUAUUUCAAAUAAAGGUCUGCAAAUUUUCAAGUAAAGGUCAUAUUGCAUAUAUAUAUAUAUAUAUAUUUAAUGAUAAAAAAUGGGUGAGGAUUGUAUAAAGAAGCCCCUUUAGAGCGUAGAAGUAAGGCGUAUCUCUCAAAUUUACUUGGAGAUGUAGAUUUGGUGUUAGAAACUUAUAAAUAAAAAAAGUAUUUUUAUUCGUAGUUAGAAAAUUUGAAAUUUAAAAUAGUACACAUCAACCAGAUACAUAAACGCUUGAAAAUGUUGAAAAUAGACAAUCUAGAUAACAUGUUACAAUGGGUAAUGUUUAUAGGAUGUGGAUUUUUUUUUCCCUUUUUCUUCAUAUCCACACAUUUCCAGGUCAAGAUGGUCGAUUAACUUUCAAACACUAUCUUUUUAUAAGAUUUUUAUGGUGCCUCUUACUUCAACCUUAUGAGAUCGCAGCCUGUUAUAAACUUCUUUCUUCUUAUAACUAGGACUUCAUUAUUUAUCCCAUACAUGUAUUAUUGUUGCUUGGUUAUACAUGUAAUUUAGAGUAACGAGAGCUACACGCCUUUGAGGUUCUAUAGCGAUUACAUUAUCAUGAUGCAAAAACACCUAAAAAAAGAAUGUUUUAAAAAAGGAAAAAGUUGAUAUAGAGCUGAGGCUCGAACAAUCAAAUUAGAGCCCCCCUGAAAAAUUUCACUGCAAGAGGUUGUUUUGAUACCCAAUUAUCCUCGACUUCAGAAACAUGCAAUGGAUUUCAAGUUUUGUAAAUAGUGCAUCUUGUAAUGAAUUUUGGGAUCAUCAAUUUUCAAGAUUUUCAAUUUUUCAUAAAUCUGCUCUAUAUACACUAUUUUUGAAGUUUUAAAUUUACAAUUAAAAAAGAAAAUAUAUUCUAUCACAAAGAUUUCCAAUAUGAAACCACAUUUCUCGAUACUAUUUGAAGGUGUGUUUUACUUUGAUUGUUUAGAGCCUCGGCUCUAUACAAACCGCACACAUUUAGGAAAAAUUUUAUAUAGAGCCGAGGCUCUAAACAAUUAAAUUAGAGCCCACUUAAAAAUUUUACUACAAGAGGUUGUUUUGAUGAUGGACAUGGAAAAAAAAUGGACUUCAAGUUUUGAAAAUAUUGCAUAUUCUAACGCAUUUUUGGACCAUCAAUUUCAAGAUUUUAAAAUUUUCAUAGAUCUUCUUGUUCUAUACUAUUUUUUGAGACUUUAAAAUUUAUAAUUAAACAUAAAAAUAUAUUUUAAGACUAUCACAAAGAUUUCCAGUAUUAAAAUCACAUUUCUCGACACUAUUUGCAGGUGCGCUUUACUUUGAUUGUUUAGUGCCUCGUCUCUAAACAAUCAAAUUAGAGCCCACCUUCAAAUAUUGUCGAGAAAUAUGGUCUCAAGACUGAAAAGUUUUGUGAUAGCCUUAAAUUAUAUUUUCAUCUUUAGUUAUGAAAUUUAAGGCUUAAAAAAUAGUGUAGGUAAAAUAGAUCUAUGAAAACUUGAAAAUUAACGGUCCAAAAAUGUGUUACAAGAUGCAUUAUUUCCAAAACUUGAAAUCGAUUUUUUUCUCAUGUCCAUACAUCUUGAUGUCGAGGUCAUCAAUUUAAUGAUAUUUGAGCAUCAAAACAACCUCUUUCAGUAAAAAUUUUAAGGUAGGCUCUAAUUUGAUUGUUUAUAGCCUAGGCUCUACGUAAACUUUGCCACGAAUCCUGGGGCUCAUAUGUGCGUAAAAGUUUCCUCUACAUGAUACUUUUUUUUUAUGGAUUUUGUUACUCAUUGUUUAGGUAUAUAUAAUAUUUAACAUGGAGAUCAUGAACGUAUAAAAAAUAUAUUUUUAAAACUAAAAAUGAUUUUUUUAAAGAGAAAUUCUUAAACGAUUGAUUUUUCCCCCUCUUGGAGUAACUACAAUUCCACAUCGAAAUCUAAGAUGGAUGUGUAAUGCCUCGGGGGACACAAAUGUAGUUAGCAACGCAUAAACCAUUUUUCCUUAUUUAUUAUAUCUAAAACACGGCUUUCUUUUAACUUGUAAUUUUUACCAAUAAAAUUUCUUAACUUAAAAUAAAGAAGAUUAAUCUGCUGUUAACAUUCAAAAAAAUAAAAUUAGAAGACUGAUACUGUGUCGUAUCUUUUACUUUAGAGAAAAGUUUAUAUAGAGCCGAGGCCCUAAAUAAGCACAUUCAAGUUUACCUCAAAAAUUUCACUAGACGAGAUUGUUGUGAUGCCCAAAAAUACUCGAAUUGAUCAUCUCAACAUCAAGAUACAUGAACAAGAAAAAAAAAUUGAUUUCAAGUUUUGGAAAUAAUGUAUUUUGUAAUGUAUUUUUUUAUCGUCAAUUUUCAAGUUUUCAUAGAUCUGUCAAUCUACAGAAUUUUUGAAGAUUUAAACUUUAUGAAUAAAGAUCAAAAUUAAUUUUAAGGAUAUCAAAAAGAUUUUCAGUGUUGAAACCGCAUUUCUCGAUACUACUUAGCAAUAGGCUCUAAUUUGAUUGUUUAGAGCCUAGGCUCUAUAAUAACCGCACUCUUUACUUUAUAUGAAACUUAAAAUGAAUAGUAGAAUGUUAUUGUCUUGUAUAUGCAUGGAAACCUUAUUAAUAAGAAAAAUAUUAUUCAAGGGUCAAAACCCUUUACAACAUCAUUAAGGGGUCAAUAUAUUCAACUAACACUAUAAAUUUACUUUUAAAUUUUUCAUUUUUACUCAAAUACUCCAAAAAAUAUAUAUCUUAGAAAUACUUAUAGUACCCUGUUCAUGUUGGGAACUUGAAGAAGCAGAGCCAUUUCAUUAAUUUGACGCUUUCAAUAAAAUAAUAGGAGUACUUCUACUUGUCUAGGGUGGGUCAUACUGAAAAAUCCCAGCUCACUUAAGGUUCUCAACCCCAAUCAAAGGCAAUUUGUGAAAUUUUGAAGUACACUCCAAGCAAUUUGUGAAAAUUUGAAGUACGCUCCCUAGUGUUUAUUGUAAUUUUUUUACCCCCUUAAAAAUAAGAGAUUUUGACCCCUAAACGAUUUUUUUCCUACUUAAAAUUCAGGUGAGAUUCCUUCUUUGAAGGGUAGAAUAUAUGAUCCAAAUCCUUAUUUUCUUGUGACAAGGAUUCUCAAGUAGCAAUUAUAUGCAUUCAAUUCUCUUUCUUGUGGGAUAAGGUUUUGUCUCUCUCCAGCCGUUCAGAUACAAUGAAAAAUGUAGGACGUCAGUAUAUGAUCACAACGUACAAUACAUCCUUAGUAUGCAGUAUGAAAUAGAGGCCCAUGUCAAAAAAUAUAGUUAUGAAGAAUGUGUUAACAUAAAAUUUUGUACCACUUCUUUUAAUAACAAACUCUGUAAGGCAACUGAGGGCAAGAUUUAUAGGAUAGUAGUAGACUAGCUUUGCUUUAUAGGACGGAAUGUUGGUGGUUGAGAAACAACAUACCCAUAGGAUAAGUAUAGCCAAGAUGAUGAUGUUGAGCUAGAUGAAUGACAAGACAAGAAGGAAUAGAAUUUGAAAUGAAUAGUAAAGAACGUAGGUAUGACACUAAUAGGCGAUGAAAUGAGAUAGAGUGGACUUAGGUUGACUGAUCAUGCACAAUGCGGACCUAGUACAACACCUGUUAGAAGGUAUGAGUUAGUUCAAGUAGAACAUUUGAAAAAGAUAAAGGGUAGGCCAAAAGAACAUGGUUAAAAGUAGUGAUAAAAGUUAUGAGGAUCUAUGGCUACACCAAAGGUAUGACCCUUGAUAGAGCAGAAUAGUGGACUAGAAUUCAUAUAGCUGACCCUAAAUAGUUAGAAAAAGAAUGUGAGGAUGAUGACGAUGAUGAUGAUGAUCUUUUAAUAACAAAAUGGAAUAUGAAUUGCAAAUUUUGAGAUCCGAAAGAUCCCUAAGGCCUUUUGGCUAAUGUUGGAAUGCAGGUCUAGUUACCGAAAAAGUCUAUUUUCGAUGUAAGAAGUUGGCCAAAAUGUCAAUAAUGAGAAUUAGGAAAGAGUAUCAUACAAUGGAGAACCCCUUCAUUGGGGCUCUGGUUGGACACAUAUAUUGGGUCAAAUUAAUUGUUGCAGAGCCUUUUACAGAUUUUAAGGCUGCAUCCCUUGUUUGGGGUUCAAACAUAAAAUUGGAUGUGCAAACAAUAGAAGAAGAGGGAGAAAAUUUAUUGAUAGGUACACCUGGGAUGUCCUUGAUUUUCGGAACCUAGACGUACUUAGUCUAAGUUUUUCCAUCAUUUUAUUAGCAUAGAAUAGUUCGCUUUGCUUCUUUGCUUUUAAAAUAUUGUACAAGUGCAUGGUGAAAUAAAAAAUUGAGAAAAAAAAUGGAGAUAAAAAUCUACAAAAUUUUAAAUUUUUUGAGUUUGGGGUUUGAACAAGUUCUCUGUACGAUGAAGGGGCAAAGUGGUUUCGGGGCUGUUAAAUAGCCUUGAUUGAGUAACUACCGUUUCUUUGAACAACGCUUACUCGAAUAUCCAUUUUAUGGGUUGUUUAUUUUACAUUAUAAUUAAAGAAACAACUCAAAAUAAGACGUUGGCUUGAUGGGCUAGUUACUUUUGUUGUUUAAAAUUCAAGUGGUAUGAUUCUUGCAUUACUUUGAUCAAUAGUCUUAACGUAAAAUAAUUGUAAAUGGGAGAAAUGUUAAAAUACUUCAAACAAAGAAUAUUUCGAUAAAUUUCUCUCAAUUUUUUAUCACAUGCGAUAUUCAAUAACAAACAAUCCUUUUUUAUUUAUAACACGUCGAACAUGCCAAUUCAUAUGGCUACACCUUUGUAAUUGACGUAGGUCACUGCAUUCGCCACCAAUCAAAUAGAUAUACACAUAUCGAAUUUCCAUCAUUAGAGACACAGAGAAAGGGGGACUUAGAAGAUUUUAUUUAUCUAAUGCAUGUUUAAGGAAGGUGAUUAAUGGCUUCUACCCUAUCACCGGCACACGUGUGACAUUGCCCACGAUGAUGCCGGGUUCGACCCAAACCACGACCCUAUCGCACCGAAAUUCUGGAUCAUCAAGAAUAAUUCCUUCGGGCAGGACUACAGUCCUAACGGUCGGAUUCUCCUUCUCGAUAGUUGCAGCUGCAAUCUCGCCGUUCACGCCCACCAAUUCCGGCCAGGAGCUCUUCCCUGUCUCAACAACUCAUGUCACUUUGUUAAUACGUGUCACAUAUGAACGUAAUGAUCAAAUCCUAGGGGGAGUUUGGAUUGAUCGAGUAGGUGCAUUAUUGACUUCCACGAAUCGUGACUAAAAGUUAAAACCGGUAGCUAUACGAGUCAAUAACAAUGUGAAAAUGGAGAGAAAACAACAAAAAACAAAAUCAAACACAGAGCAAAUAGAAAUGCAAAGAAACAGAGAAGGAUACUGGUAUUCAUGUAGUUUAACGUAAAUGUGAUUACAUACAUGUGCAAAGAUGAUUAAUGAUUUCAUGUGCAGCUCCAAAAGGUGCAAGAUGAUUCUCCUGAUAAAUUUUUCAUUUUAAAAAAAAAUACAUAAAGAUCUUCUACAUCAUCUCAAGCACUACAGGGGUGGCAACAAGCUGGGUGGCCUGGCUUGGCUUGUCCUGUCCCCGUCAGCCCAGCCCAGCCCAAAAAAAUUAGUGCUUGGGCCACAAAGUGUGGCCGAGGGUAGGGCCGGGAAGGCCCGGCACAUUGCCAGCUCUAUCAUCUAAGAUAACCCCAAAGAAACUUAUUUAUAUGCUUGAAAUACCACUAUAAGUCCAACGAACCCUCACACUAUAACUAAGGAGCGGGAUCCAAAAUGGGAUAGAUGCUAUGUUACAAUAACUACAAGAAACAGUAGCACACAGCAAACAAAAUGAUAAUAUUCCUCAGUAAGGCCUCAUGAAAAUUAACAAAAAUAAAGAAAAAUUAUGAAUUUCAAGAAGUGUCAAAAUGAAUAUGAAAUUUCUCUUUCAAAAUGUGUGCACUGUCAACACCACACGUGCGAGAGACCUAUGCAGAGAGUGGCCUUUCUUUCUCUCCAUGCACGCCAGAAUGAGUGGUAAGGGAUAUCUUUACCUUGACACUCUGAAGCCAUGUCUGAACCUUUUCUUCUUUCUUCUCUCUCUCUCAAAAUCCUUAUAAUUGUGUGAAAGUAAAUCUCUCCCUUUCUAUAUUUCUCUCUCUGAAAGUCCUUUUAAAUGUGAGAGAGUCACCAAGAUUUAUAGCCAUUGGAUUAGUGCUUGAGGCUGUACAUUAUUGACUGCACACCGCCAUAUUUGAAUUGUCUCCUGCUGCAUCACGUACCAGGCAUAUGACUCCAUAACUUAUCCAACUUAGAUGGUUAUGUCUUACAAUAUACAUCCUUUAAAAGAAAACGCUUUCUCAUUUCAAUUUCAAGAUGCCUCUCCAUUUUUUUUUGAAGUUUUUUCUUUUGAGGAAUUUUGGACAUUGCAUUCAAAGCCUAUCUCCUCAUUUAAUUGGGUUGAAUAUGGAUUUUAGAUGACACGUUGUGGGUAGGUUGAAUGAGGAUAAAGGAUACAUUAUCCUUAUGACAGAAGGCCACCUUUGUGUUCAUCUUCCACAAGCAAGCUAAGGAUAUCCAUAUUUUUCAAACACAUAAAGGACCAAACGCAUUUUGAGGAUAUUCAUCCACCUCACCUAAGUUUAUCUUGCCCAUUCUUGUUCAGUUUAUUUGGAAAUCAAUUUUUCUAGUCAUAAGAUUUCUAACCUUGCAAACUUGGGGUGGCAAUGAGCCAGGUGGCUCGGCCCUAAAAAUCUAGGGGCCUAGGCCACAUAAUGUGGCUCAAGAGCCAAGCUAGGGUUGGGUCACAACAGUCCAAGGGAUACGCUAAACUCAAUUUGUAGGAAUGGGCUAAAAGAUAGAUGGUCAAGGUGGUGGGUCGCUACUAGAUUAUCAGAAAAAAAUAAAUAAAAAAAUAAAAGAAUAAGAAAAAGGAAACAUCAAUUUGUGCAAUUUUAAGGAUAUCAAGGCUAGGUGGCAAGGGUGGCGGGCUACUACAACAUGACGUCAGUUUUACUCCAAACAUAGAUAAGAUUUCCCUUCCAGUAAACUAUGGGGUUACUAGAAAGGUAGAAUUAUAUAUUCCAAGAGCAAAAAAUAUUAUUGAAUUCUCACUUCCGACUUUGGAACUAACAAAGUAAUGUGGAGCACAAUGUUACCAGAUAGGUAGGGUGGGAAUGGAUCCGAUUAGACCGGGGAACCGAUGGGUCGAAUCCAAGUCCAAAACCUAGACCAGAACACUAUUAUGCUCUGGGCCCGGCUUCUGCCGGACCCCGCCUAUACCCAUAGACCGUUGGAGAUAAAAACUUGACUUUAAGCCCAAUUCGUGUGAGUCUAUUAAGGAUCAUAUACAAUAAGAACUUGUAAUUAUCUUUACCUAUUAAAUGACAAAUCAUACGUCUUGAAAUCUAAUGCGGGUGAUUGUGACCUUGUUGUUAAUAAUAUGGGUAUAUGAUGAUAAAAGAGGAGGGCAAAAAAAAAGAAAAGCUAAGAAUCAUAGGGUGGCUAUGGACCCGACCAGACCAGGGACAUGAGGAUGGGUCCGGGUUCAAAACCUGGGCACGAAUGCUAUUGGGUUCGGGUCCAGCCGGACCCGACCCAUUGCCACCCCAACAGAUAGGCAGGAUAGCCUUCCUUUUUCAUGUAAUAUAGUAUAAUAAUAUACACAUUAGGAUAUAAUAUUUACCCAUGUUGAUAGUUUCAAAAACUCUUUUCAGUGUUUAAAAAAGUCGUAAGGUAUACAUAGUGUUGUCAAGUGGGAGCACAAUGUACACUUAUUCUUGCACCAAAAGAGGUAUAUGCAAGGAUCUAUUGGACAAGAAAUUUGGAGAAAUUAAAAAAGUUUAAGUUUUCUAAACAGCUAGAUCUGAGCAUCCAUAAUUGGGAUGGUUUGUUUGAUCUAGGAUGUUAUCUUUUUUUUGAAGAGUAUAAUUUUUAAUUUAAUUGGAAUUAUGUAUUUUUUGCCGUUGGUUGCUAGGUUGAGGAGUCACAUUCCUAAAAUUUUGGGUCCUAAAAGUACUACUACAAAGGGGUAGGCUUUACCUGAUGGAGUAAAAGGAUGAUAUGCUCCCCCGGGAGCAUAUAAUAUUUUGACAAACUAUUCCAUAGGACUGAUUACCUUGUAAAUGAGACUAGAGAAACUUCAAGAUAGAAAUAGAAAAUAGGUAAUGGAGAGAAUGGGGCAGGAUAAUGUUUGGAGAACCACUAUUAUUUGAUGGACUUGGAUCUUUGUGGAUUAAAAAUUAGGAUUGUUAGUUUACUAGUUGAAGAAGGAUAGAUGGUGAGCUUGUCUUUGAGGGAUUGUUAGGCGUUAAUCUCACAUUCAACGCGUUAAGAAGAUAAUUUCCCUAGAGGCAUCUGUAUGACAUGGGAAGGCGUAAGGUUUAAAUGAAUGUUUAAUAAAAGUAAUGUGUUGAUAUAUAAGUCGGUGUUAAUUUUCCACGUUUAUGUAUGGAUAAGGACCACCUGGUGAUUGUUCAAAUAUGGGGGCAGCCGUCAAUGGCGUGCACCCUAAAGCAAGGGAAACAGCACUAUAAAUCUCUGAGCUAACACUCGUAUCCUGCAUUACAAGGAUUCACAAAAACUGAGAGACAUGGCGUCAGAGGACUGCCAAGGUAAGGAUCCCCCAUUUAUAUUUACAUUAAGAGAGAGGCCCAGUCUUGCAUUGCCUGUUGCACCUAUACUGCGGGUUUGGGCCUACACAAACCCAGUGCAUGCAACAUCAGAAACUCAUUUUCGUCAUUUCCUUUUCCUUAUCAAAUUACUUUCGUUGAAAUAAAUCCGUGUAUUGCUUUUGUUGAAAUACAUCCGUGUACAGAUAACUACUGAAAUAUGAUGAUACACGGAUUAUAUUGAUAUCCAAAUCUCAUAUUUUAGGUAACUAGAUGCGAAGAACAUCAUGAUAAUAUAUUUAAAAGAUAUUUGAAGAUAUCAAUUUCUUUUUAUUUGUUAUUUUGUAUUUUUUAUUUAAUACUCGAUGAAAGAAAUAAUGGGCACUAUUGAAUAGCCUUUCAACUGUAGAUGUAGAUCCAAGAGACCGAACCACUUGUAUUUUCUUCUUCUUUUUUUCUUAAUUUAUUUUAUAACUUCCUUCACGGUUAUCCAGCACUUCCAAGGGGACCAGAAUGUUUAUUUGGUUCCACUGGCAAAACCCAGAUUUCCAUUGACUGAAAAUUUCUUAAUCUUUUAUUGUAUUUAUAAUCAAUGUUAAAAUAAAAAAUAAAUAAUCGAUUUUCAAUAAUGAAAAUCCCACGGUCGAUGGUGUGAUUUGGUGCACUUCAUGAAGUCCAAAUCCUUUUUCUUUCAAAUUGAUUUUAAAGAUGAAUAAAACAUUAUUCGAGAAGUAUAGAAUAAAACUAGCCUUUUAAAGAUGGUGUUUUAGUUGUGGGGCCGAAUCUGCAAUUUGGUUUCUUGGGAUCACCAAACCCUUGUUCCUUUAAUUGAUUUCAAAAAGAAAAUGCCUCCCUUCAUAAACCGACUCGCGUAUAAAUCAUAUCAUCUUUUGAUGUUUUUUUUAUUCCCUCUUUACGGUGCAAUUUAUCAAAGUAAGAGACACAUAUUCAAACCCUAUCUUGGCUAUUUAACAUUUUACUUAUAUGUUUUAAUUAAACUUCAAAAUGACCAUAAAAUUUUACGGUGCAAUUUAUCAAAGUAAGAGACAUAUUCAAACCCUAUCUUGGCUAUUUAACAUUUUACUUAUAUGUUUUAAUUAAACUUCAAAAUGACCAUAAAAUUUUACGGUGCAAUUUAUCAAAGUAAGAGACACAUAUUCAAACCCUAUCUUGGCUAUUUAACAUUUUACUUAUAUGUUUUAAUUAAACUUCAAAAUGACCAUAAAAUUACACGUGAUUUUGAGUUGAAAUACUAGAAAAGGGGUACAAUUUUACAUGGUUGAAAUGCGAGGUACAUUUGGAUAAAUUUCAUGCCAUAAAAUUUAAAAAUAAGAAAAUGAUUCCUUUUUUUUAUAUUAACUUUUGAUUAGGAUUGAAAUGUUAUGACACCUGUCACCCUUUCAAGCGGUUUAAGUGUAAACAAAUGGACAUAAUUUGCAGGGAAGAGCUCAUGGCCGGAAUUGGUGGGAACCAACGGUGAAGAUGCCGAGAAGACUAUCGAGAGGGAGAAUCCAUUGGUGGAUGCUAGAAUCGUGACCGAAGGAUCCUCGGUUGAUCUGCAAUUUCGGUGCGAUAGGGUCUGGGUUUGGGUGAAUGAAGAUGGGACCGUCACGCGUGUGCCGGACAUAGGCUAGAAGCUGUAAACGAUUCAUUCAGUUAUUUCUUAGCAUUUGGUUUCUAAGUCACGUGUGUGUUUAUGAAAUAAAGGGCAGCUCCCCAUCUCCAUAUGUAUGACUAUCGUUAAUACAGUCAAUAUAUGGUAGCAGCUUAAUGCUUAUUGUGAAAAGUAGCGCAACAUGACUUACAAACUGGAUUUACACUAUGCACAUCAUGAAUACUUAGUUUAGACCGACCGACCAAUGGCGAUUCCACCGUUUUUCUUGCAGGCAUGCUUGUGAACCUCAUGUCCAACUUAUAAUAUGGGAUUGUACACAAUAAGAUCAUUUACCUUUGGUAUAAGGAUCUCACCUUAUUUAUAAUCAUCCUAUGUGAAAUUUGAAUGCUUGAAUGUGUUUCAAAAUUCGAAAAAAUUUCUUUUGAACUUUGAUGUUAGUCAAUGAAAUAAAUGUAGCUACCCAAUUUUAUAUCAAGUGGUAAAGAUGAUAUAUAUAUGUAUAUAUUGAGAAAAUAUAUUGUGCGCCCAAGUGUGUACUGCUACAGUAAACGCCCACAGUCCAGAUUGAAUCUCGGCCGAUCUGACCAUCACAGAUGUCUUAUAGUGUUUGAAUUUUAUUUAUUUUUCUACAAAUCCAAAUUACUUGAAAUUUUAAGCGUAUAUUCUUAAAAAAUAGGCCAAUCUAAAAGAUAUAAAAAAACAUUUAUAUGAAAUAAAUUAACCAAAAUACCCCUAAAUAUUUUAGGGGAUAUUUUGAUCAAUUUUUUCGUGCAAAUUAUUGUUUUUAUAUUUUUAUUAGGUGCACCUUGAUGAGAAGAAUACACGCCUAAAAUUUCAAGUGAUUUGGAUUUGUAUAAAAAUAAUUAAAAUUCAAACACUAUCGGACAUCUGUGAGAGUUAGAUCGGUCACAGAUCUGGGUCAUUAUCGUAUGGGCGUACAGAAGUGACUCCCAUAUAUAAAUAGGGCAAUGAUUUCAUACAACCGUUGUAUAGUAAUAUGAUGCAACAACCUUGAAAAACCAUGUUAUUGUCAUUUGUUUGAUCCAAAUUUAAAAAUAUACACGCUUUUCAUUCUAAUGAACAAUCACAAAAAAAGAAAAAAAAAAAAUGGAAAACACAACCUAGAAAGUACUUUUUUAGCCCAAUUAACAUAGACCAUUCAUUUUGGUGAGAUUCUUAGAUCUAGGCCUUAGAAUGAUUUUUUUCAUUUCUAAUUUUUUUUGGAUGGCUUUAUUAUGAUUAGAUGUACAAUUAAAAAAAAAAAAAGAUUUUGAGUUUAUAAAAGUUAAGAUAAUGAAAUUCAUAAAAUAAAUGGUCUAGAUUCGUUUUUGAAGGGGACUCAUUUUGACGAUAUCUAGGGUUCAAAGUGAACUUUUUAUUUUUUGAGGAUUGAUUAUUGAGAUGAAGAGAGUGUGUGUGCAUAAUUUUGGGUCGUACAAAUACCACAAACAUGGUCUUCUAGAAUUGUCGUUGCAUUAUAUUAUGAUACAACUGUUGUAUUGGAUAUAUAUAUAUAUAUAUAUAUAUAUAUAUAUAUAUAUAUAUAUAGAGACUUACGUAACUAACUAACUAACUAAUACUACUACUACGUCGUACUACGUACUUACGUACUACUUAUUUAGUUUUAUUUUAGUUAUAGUAUAGUANNNNNNNNNNNNNNNNNNNNGUACGAUUAAGUUACGGUUACGUACGUAACAUACUAACUAACUAGUUACGUACUUACGUAUAGUACGUAGUAUUAUAUAUUAUAUAUACUAUGUAUAGUAGUAUAUAUAUAUAUAUAUAUAUAUAUAUAUAUAUAUAUAUAUAUGAGGCAUGUUAAACUACAAACCGAUAAUCAUACUUGCUGUCCAACUAGUUCAACUUGAUUUAUUUUUUUUGAUAGAUCUGUGGGGAAUACAGGCCGCUACACGUUUGGAAUGGAGACAAUUUCUUUGAAAGUAAUAGUAAGAAUUGAGGCCGUGACCUUUAAUUGGGUCUCAUGUGACCAUGACCCGAUCCGUAUUCUCAGUUAAGUCUGAUCUUAAUAACAUUAGUCAAUUUUGUUUCUCUUUAAACCUUUAAAAGUACCCCAAAUUCUGGCUAAAAAGAAAUAGCCCUCCAAAAAAAAUGUUUGUUUUUUUAUACAAGAGCACAUAAUUUUAUUGAUCAAAGUGAAUUACGAAUUACACAAGUAAAGAAGAACAUACAACUAAAUCUAAAGAUUCAGAUUCGUCUAAUAUAUCUACGACCUCGUUUGCCUCCCUAUAGGCGUGGUUGAAGAGUACCUUAUGUGAUUUGCAAGAAUCAGCAGAUUCAUUUAUUCACAGGCAUCCCCCUUGGGAGAUUCAUCUUAAAUAUGGAUUUUGAUUCUAGAUUUUUAAGGAUCCAAAAUCUAUAUCACGGCGAUCAUGACUAAUUAAACAACCACCUAUUUCUGCUUACCCGCCCAAUAGAUUCCAAGAGACAAGUGCUUGUGUGCCUAUUUCGUCCCGCUCCACAAAUUGAUUUAUGAAUUCAAAAUUCAUAGGGCAUUCGAGCAUAGUGACAAAAACAACCUCGUCUGCCUACUCGCGACCAAAAAUCUCAUGAUCAGGGAUCCAGGCGGCUUCUCUUACUGUCCUUUAGUUGGUCACGGUUUAAAAAUACAAAGUUUUGUUUUUUUAGGUUUUUAUGAAACCGUGUGCCUUGGAUUUAGUCGAGCAUAUCGUGUCUUGAAUUUCAGUAGGCAUCCUUUGUUUAAUGGCAAUAUUUUUUUUAUUUUUGUGAGUAAUUCUAUAAAGAAGAUAGACCCCAUUUUGCUAGUAAUUUAAGAAAUUUUUUUUAAAGCGUUGAUAAAGUAGUUUUAGUAAGAAUGAAAACCACUACGUAGUGAUUAUGUGGGGGUGCUACAACCCUAGCCCUUUUCCCAAACGUGUAUCUUUAAGGACAUUUGAUGAUGAGGGAACACAUGCGUCCCCUAACUCGCACCUUAGACUAAAGGGUAAGAUUUUGAUGAGUCAGUUGACUCUCUAUUUGCUUGUGUACAACUAAAUAAAUUUAUCACUAAAAUAUAGGGCACCCCAAUAGCCUUAGAUGGUAAUAACAUACGGUGUUUUGAAAAAUAAAUUUUGAGAAAAUAAAUAUAAAUAAAAAAUCCCUUCUAAUUUGUAACGUAGUUACCUCAAAAUUAACAAGAUUAUACCAUUUUUUAAAAACCUUAAAUACAGCUUAGAAUUUAAAUUUUAAAACCUAAUCAUUGUUACCUAUAAACAAUACCCUGAAAAUCUAUCAUCUAAAUUUUAACUUUUGAAAGUGGCUUAAAACUUACUCAAAUUUUAAUUUGAAUAUCAGAGCUAUUUUAAGGAAUUCACUUAGGAAAGGCAUUUAUAGAAAUUUAUAUUCGGUGGAAAACAAUAUAACUUCAUUAAGGCCUUGUUUUGUAACUAAGAAAAUAGAAUAUAACUUUCAUUGAGGCCUUGUUUUGUAACUAAGAAAAUAGGAGAAAACGACAUGUUUUCACAGUUACCACAUUUUUUUCAAUUCAAGAAUGGGAAAAUGCAUGGAAAUAAGGCGCCUCACAUUGCUCCGCAUUUCCUCAGGAAGAGAGGGGAAAUAAAAGACCCCCCUCAUCCGCUUUUAUUUUUGCCAUGCUUUAGUGCGAGCUUUUUUCAGUUUUCACAAGUUAUUAAACAAGGGUUCUCGGAGUCCAACCGUGAUGUUUUUUUUCUUGUUUUUGGGUAAUUCAAUGGUUCUUUUUUUUGGAUAAUUUAGUGGGAAAAAUAAACCCCUACCUAUUUUUUUGAAUGGAUUAGUGAGUGACCUUUUUUGAAAGAAUUAGUGGGUGGUGUGAGCAGGAUUGAAAACCACAAUAUGGUAACUACGAAUAGAUUAGUGAGUUACCUCGUUUGAAGGUAUUAAUGGGUGGUGUGAGCAGGAUUGGAAACUACAACAUGAUAACUACGAAUAGAUUAGUGAGUUUAUCUCUUUUGAAGAUAUUAGUGGGUGGUGUGAGCAAGAUUGGAAACCCCAACAUCGUAACUAAGUAUGCGGUGCUACCCCUAUGACGUAAACCCUUUUCCCCGAGUUUUCUACUUUUACCUUCCAUUUUUUUUCAGAGAUUCCCUAAAAAACACAGCUUGCACAGUAACAAAACAGGGUCCAAGAAUAGAUGAGCACACUAAAUAAUAUCACACGUAUCCUUCUUAAAAGUAUACUAUAUCCUUUGAGAUUUAAAUAUCGAAGAAAUCGAGUAUCAUCAAGGGCUUUCCUUUUCUGAGGUUUCCUGAAAUGGAAACACAGAAGAGAAUUCCAAAACCAAAAGACCCGAAUUAAGAGGUUUCCUUUUCUGAGGCUCCCUGAAAUGUAAACUACAAAGAGAAGUCGAAAACCAAAAAGCCUGAAUUAAUUCCUAAAUAUUUGAAGAUGGAUCUCUUAAAUGGACAAUUAAUUUUCUAAAAAACAAACUAUUUCUUUCCUGCCAUUCUGUGGCAGUAUAAAUACCAACGGCCUCUCCUCCAUUUAUGACUAUCACAACCACACAACAAGAUGGCAGGAGUAUGCAGCAGUGACCGUAAGUCUCUCUCUCCCCCUAUCUCUCUCUCUUUCUCUUUCUUUUUCUCUCUAUAUAGAUCUCUAAGAGCAAUGGAUGAAAUAGUGUCAGUAAUGGGGAGAAUCAGAGAUACCCCCUUGACCCUACUUUUUUACGCAUGUCACCCGCCUAUAAUUUGUAAAUCGCACCCAUAAUGCCCAAGUUCUUAUUUUGCAACCGCCACCCAUGUUAUAAAGUAGGAUCUUUUAGGAUGAAAAUACCCCCCAUUUAACCCAUGUUUGCCCAACACGUGCCGAUCCGGCACAAAAAAAUGUGUCCGACCAAUUUUGUAUCUUCUAAAUGCGUUGGUCCCGCAACCUUCUGACAAGGUGUACUGGUCCAACAAAAACUUGUGCGUGACUGAAUUCUAAUAAUUUACUGGUCCGAUACAAAUUGUGCUGGACUGACUUAUAUUGAAAUUGUGCUGGUAUUGUACAAAAUGUGCUAGACGGGCUUCUAUAUUCAAGUUGUGAGGAUCCAAUACAUUUUGUAUGAACCUCCUUAAACGGCGAAAGUAGAGAUUGAAACAUGAGUUAAAAUAAAGUUAUUUUAGUCCAAAAAAGUUAACUCUUUUGCUUGGGGGUAUUGGGAUUAACAGUGUGAUAGAAAAGUUAUUUUAGUCUCAUAGGAUUCACAAAAUGAAGUUAUUUUAGUCUCAUAGGAUAAAUGAAUCCUUGACCUCUUGAAUACAAAAGAUAAUACCAACACCAGCAAUUUCAUGAAUAGAUAUUAAUGUGGCAUACACAAUAUUUGGUUUUUUAAAAAAAAAUAUUUUCCGUCCAUUUAAUUAUUUAACUUAGAUUUUGAUAGGGCCAACUAUCAACCAUUUUAAUGAACAUUAAAAUCAAGAGUAACCAAUUGACAAUGAAAAUAGAAAUAUAAAUUUUACUAUAAUCAAAUAUUAGCUAACUUAGUUUCGUUUUUUGACAAAAUCAUGGAAAAAAAAGUUUUUCAGAGCAUACACCAAGUUAUGCUUUCUUAAAAGACUUUAUACUCAAGAAGGAGCACAUAUUAGAUUCAUUCCCUUUUAUAAAACCCUAUCUCAAAGUAUUCUCAAGGUCCAAGACUCUUUUGGAUCCUUAAGAAAAAAAAACACUUCCUGAGCACUCAGUGUUAGUGGGAAAACAAUAUGCCCUAAGAUGGUAAAUCUAAAGUGUUUAAAAAUUAAAAAUAUUUUCUUUUUUAUGGUCAUUUAUUAGUGCUUCUGACAUCCAAAGAUGGGCAAAAUCCUACUUCGAUGGCCUUACCGUGCCCUCCAGAAGGAGUCCUAGUGUAUACUUUCAUUGUUUUUAAAAACGCGAUCUAGGAAACAGUUUUUCAAAUUAUAUUGCACAUUACAAUUAUUUGUUUUAUAACCUUUCUUAAUUUUCCUUUUAUAUAUAUAUAUAUAUAUAUGGACCAAAUUUAUCUAUGUAAAUUGUUUAAAGUGACCAAAUUUGAAUGGAUAUUGCAGAAAAGACCAGAUGGCCCGAACUGGUUGGAACCAAAAAACAAUUUGCAGUACAUACAAUUGAGAAGGAGAAUCCGAACGUCCAUGCUCAAGUCGUGCCACCGGGAUUCUAUAUUCCUCCAGACAUCCGUUGCUGGAGGGUCUUGGUUUGGAUUAAUGAACAUGACAUCGUAACAAGGAUACCAAUUGUAGGAUAGAUAAGGUUAUCGCUACUUUGUACUGAAUAAAAGAAGACAAGGAAAAAGAAUAAUUGAAUAGGUUCUAUACAUGCAUUUUCAGAAAUGCUUUGUCCUAUGACACUCGUCUCUGUUUUGCUUUAUUUAUGUAAUAACAAUGAUAUAUUGGUUUCUAUCUAAUCCAAUUCAUGAUUGAAUGAAAGUCAGUAGGGAGAUUGCAUUUAAGGGUACUUCUUUUGAGCAUGCAACUCAUAAAUGAUUUAUCUUGAGUGCAUGGUAGCCAUUUCUUCAAUUUGGAUAUUGGAAUUUUGAAAUCUAGGUGUUUAUUUCAUUGAAGACAGUGAGAGCUUCUAGUACGUUCAGGUCUAGUUCAUUCAAAGAAUGAAUUCAGUUUUAGUUAAAUGUUCAAAAUUAAGGAACUCUAUGGUUCAUAUUGAAAGUUGAUCUAAGAAGGGUGAGAACCUUAAAGUUUCUCUAAAUCUAUCCCAAGCCCAAGUGCAGAAAGUGGGUUGUGUUAUGCAGGCAGCCAACAUAAAAUAGAUAGUCGAGAUGAUCAAUUGGAGGGUUGCAUCAAAACAACCUUUUUGAUAGAUUUUUGAAGCGCCCCACGCUUUAAUAGUAUAAGGUUACACCUUAUAUAAGGUUUUUCCUAGUAAAGAAAAUGUUUCGCGUUUCUUGUAAAAAAUUAAUGUUUAGUGCACACAAAACAUCACAAUACUUAUAACGUGAGGUCACUAAAAUAACAUAAAACCUAGCCAAAAAUCAAAUGAAGGGCCUAUAACAUUAACAAAUAUCAUACUUUUUCCCAUCUCAAUUUCUUGUGUGCUCUGUCGUGCCUGAGCAGGUAAAUCUGACUUUUUCGAGCGUGUAAGUGGGGGUUUCACUUAGAGGAAAUAGAUAAGGAUUGACAUCUUCUUGCUCACUUCAAAAUGUCAGUAAUGCGUGCCCGGCAUCAUCUUUAACUAUUCAAACUUCAAAGAGAGUCUUAUGGAACCAUAACACUUUCACACUACCAUCCUAUGAAUGGACGGCUACGAUGGUACUUUUAAUAAGAACCUAAUUAUGCAUGAAGACUUAUGGGCCGUCCAUUAGAGUGUUGAGAUGGUGGUGUAACAGCAUAGCAUUGCACAUGUGUAUACAAAUGCUUUGAAAUGUGAAAAUCGGAGUUUCUUUGAAAAAUAUGAGUUGAAAGUUCAACAUAUAAAGAAGUGGAGCACCUAACCAAAUUAAUAGCAUUGCUCCUUACACGUCUCCAAAGGAUAUAGUUGUAUAAAUAGCAUUGCUCCCUAUACAUCUCCUACUAUCGAUCUCCAAGAGAAGAGAAGAAAAGAUGUCAUCAGAUUCGAUAUGCCCUCCUGGUAAGAUUCUCUCUCUCUAAAUUAGCCCCAGUAAGGUUUCUUUGUAAAUUAGGAUUCUUUUGGUCCCUGUUAGCCUCAGUAAGGUCUUCAAUGUAACAAGCACAUACUCAUGGCCAGUGUUUUGAGACUCUGCCGACCCCUACGAGCGUUUUGUUCUAAACCCCAUUUUUAUAGGUUUUAUAUAAGGAAAUUUGUUUCAUGGGCCGAUUCCUAAGGUCGUAGGGCAAGCCCGAGUCCCUGGCUAUCAAAUUUCACAUCAAAUGAUUGUAAAGAAUUGUUACCCUUUUGUAUCAAUGCUAAAUAGUCUCAUUGUAUAUGAUUCUUUUUAUGGGAAAUUGACUUUUAACGAUUAAAAUCCCAUGGUCGAUGCUGUGAUUUGGUGCUCUUUAUGAACUCCAAAUCCUUUUUCUUUUAAAUUGAUUUUAAAGAUGAAUCAAACAUUACUUGAAAAGUAGAGAGUAAAAGUAGUCUUUUAAAGAUAGUGUUUUGGUUGUGGGGCCAAAUGUGCAAUUUUGUUUCUUGGGACCACCAAACCCUUGUCCUUUAAUGCAUUUCAAAAAGAAAAUGCCUCUCUCUCUUGAUAAACCAAGUCGCGAAUAAAUCAUAUCAUCGUUUGAUUUUUUAUUUUUUUAGCGAUGCAAUUUAUUAUCCUUCAAACCCUCUGGGAAGAUGCAAUCUGAAUUUCUGAGGACUUGAAAAUAUGUUUCUACCCCUAACUAUAAAAGAGAAAUUAUUCAAAAUAUUCAUGUUGGCUAUUUAACAUUGUAUCGUUAUAUUUUGAUUUAAUUCAAAAUGCCCAUAAAAUUACACAUGAUUCCGAGUUGAAUGGUAAAAAAGGGGUAAAAACGUUACAUAGUUGAGGUGUAUUUCAUGUAAGAACAUUCUUUUCUGAUAGACUGUUGAGGUGGGUCUCACUUUUAUAGAGUAAGGGGCCACGUUUAUGUAAAAUUUUUCAAGUUCUUUAUAUUAACUUGAGAUUAUGAUUGAAAUAUUAUGCCAUCUACCGUCCCCCCGUUCCUUUAACAUCCUUUUGAACUGGACUGAUUUAAGUGUAAAUAAAUGGACGUAAUUUGCAGGGAAGAGCUUAUGGCCGGAAUUGGUGGGAACCAACGGUGAGGAUGCCGUGAAGACGAUCGAGAGGGAGAAUCCAACGGUGGAUGCUUCAAUCGUGCCUGAGGGAUCCAUCGUUACCACGGACGUUCGAUGCGAUAGGGUCCGUGUUUGGGUGAAUGAAUAUGGGACUGUCACACGUGUGCCCACUAUAGGCUAGAAGCCGUAAGCGUAUUUAUUAAGUAAUUCUUAGCCUUCGGUUUCCAAGUCACGUGUGUGUUUAUGAAAUGAAGGGGAGUUCCCCAUUUCCCUAUGUAUCUAUCUAUUCUGAUUAUUGGUAAUACAGUCAAUAUAUGGUGACAGUUUAAUGCUUAUUGUGCACAGUAGAGCACUAUUUCUUACAAACUGGAUUUACACGUCUUCACUAUGCACGUGCGUAUCUUCAUGAACACUUUGUUUCGACCAACGGAGAUUCCCACCGUUUUUCUAACAGCCAUGCUUGUGAACCAUUUCAUGUGCAACUUAUAAUAUGGGAAUUGUAUGCAACCAUAUCAUUUACUUUUGAUACAAAAGGUGGUCACUUUGCUUAUAAUUAUUCCACAUCAAAUCUUAUAGCUUGGGUGUAUCUUAAAGUUUUUUUAAAAAAAAAAAAAAAUUGAACUUUAAGUUUGGUCAAUGAAAUAAGUGCAGGCACUCAAAUUCACAUCCCAUCAGGUUUAGAGCUUUCACGCAAAACAUAUUUUUUCAGGUGAGACUACAUUUUGUUUUUAUAAAGCCUAGACCCUAUAGGAACUUCCUCCUACUCUAAUAGGAGGAAAAUACAAACGGUUAAUACACAUUAAUAAUAUGUACGUGCAUUGUACGUGAUAUUGAAUAUUAAUAAAUGAAAUAUUUUAUCAUUGAAAAAAAUUCAAUUUCAAUAAAACAUGGUAUAUUAGAGAGAGAGAGAUAAUUUAAUACAUUUAUCUUCACAAUUGAAUAUUUUAUUAAUUAAUAAUAAAUGUGAUACUAUAUUAUUGAAAUAUAUUAUUAAAAUAUAUAGUCAAAAUACAUAAAGCCAAAGUUAUGAUAGAAACAUAGUUAUUAUUUUAUUUUUUUUCUAUUAUUAAUAUUAGUAUUAAUAUUAUUAUAAAUAUAAAUUAACAAAAAAUAAAAUUAGAAAAAUUAUUAUAUUAUUUUAUUGAAGUAAAAUAAUAAUAAUAAUAAUAAUUUAUUUAUUUAUUUAUUAUUAUUAUUAUUAUUAUUAUUAUUAUUAUUAUAUUUUUUAUCAUAUAAGGUAGGACCCAUUGAUCUUGAAUACUAAAGAAAAAAGAUUAUUUUUCUUUUUUAUUCUUAUGUUAAAUGAUAAAUCGACUUUCUUUCUAUCCCAAUUUUGCCCUUUAAUUUUGUUCCAUAAUAAAGAGUUCAAAAGAGGCAAUAAUACACCUAGAAAAUAAGAGAAAGCUAUUACUAUCAUAAAAACACUAUUGUAAUAUUAAAAUAUUCAUAAAACACUAAAAUAUAACAAAAUGAAGUUAAAAUCAUAAAGGGUUAAAUUGAGAUAGAAACAAAAUUGAUAUAAUCUAACAUAAAAAUCAAGAAGGAAAAAAAAAAUCAUUUCUUCCAUUAGCAUUUAAGAUCCAUGGGCUUUACCUUAUACGAUAAAAAUAAAUUAUAAAAUUAAAAUUAAAAUAUUAUUUCAUAAUAGAUGAAUAAUGCAACUAGAAAAUAGCAAGAGAAAGCUAGAAGAGAAAUAACAUAAAUAAAUAACUCAUAGAAAAUCAAAACAAAAAAUUAUACAAAUAAAAUAUUAUUAUUAAUAAUAAUAUUAAUAAUAAAUAAUAAUAAGUAGUAUUUUAUGAAAGAAGAAGAAAAAUAAGAUAAUUGGCAUAAAAAUAAGGGGAGAGAGAAUAGAAAAUCUUGUAGAUAAGGGAAAAGUAUAAGAGAGAGAAAAUAGUGGGGGGUGGGGAAUGGGGAUAAGAGUAGAGGGGGGAGAGGGGUGUGUUAUUUAUUAGGAAGAGGAAAUAUGGGACAUGUGGCACAAAACAAGGGAAGAUAUUUAAAGAAGGAAAAAGUUUUUGUAAGGUUGCAACUUUAAAAUGUAGAUUCAAAGAUACACAUAAAAAAUAAAUCGAAAAAAAUUGUUUUAAUGUUGCAAAACCCUCUAAUUGAGUCUAAAAAAUAAUGCAUCUUGGAACACAAUAUCUAGUCCGUCCAUUUUCAAGAUUUUCAUAUGUUUAUAUAUCUACUUGAUUUAACAAGUUUUGGAGUUUAAAAUUUUAUAAUUAAAUAUGAAAAUAAAUUUUGAGAUAAUCCUAAAAAACUUUUACACCAAAAUUACAUGUUAUAAGAAAAUUUGGAGAUGCGCCAUACUUGGACUGUUUAAGAUUGCAACCGUAUAGAAACCACACCCUUUAAAGAAAAGCGUAAUGGGGAGAGAGUGAAGAGAGNNNNNNNNNNNNNNNNNNNNNNNNNNNNNNNNNNNNNNNNNNNNNNNNNNNNNNNNNNNNNNNNNNNNNNNNNNNNNNNNNNNNNNNNNNNNNNNNNNNNNNNNNNNNNNNNNNNNNNNNNNNNNNNNNNNNNNNNNNNNNNNNNNNNNNNNNNNNNNNNNNNNNNNNNNNNNNNNNNNNNNNNNNNNNNNNNNNNNNNNNNNNNNNNNNNNNNNNNNNNNNNNNNNNNNNNNNNNNNNNNNNNNNNNNNNNNNNNNNNNNNNNNNNNNNNNNNNNNNNNNNNNNNNNNNNNNNNNNNNNNNNNNNNNNNNNNNNNNNNNNNNNNNNNNNNNNNNNNNNNNNNNNNNNNNNNNNNNNNNNNNNNNNNNNNNNNNNNNNNNNNNNNNNNNNNNNNNNNNNNNNNNNNNNNNNNNNNNNNNNNNNNNNNNNNNNNNNNNNNNNNNNNNNNNNNNNNNNNNNNNNNNNNNNNNNNNNNNNNNNNNNNNNNNNNNNNNNNNNNNNNNNNNNNNNNNNNNNNNNNNNNNNNNNNNNNNNNNNNNNNNNNNNNNNNNNNNNNNNNNNNNNNNNNNNNNNNNNNNNNNNNNNNNNNNNNNNNNNNNNNNNNNNNNNNNNNNNNNNNNNNNNNNNNNNNNNNNNNNNNNNNNNNNNNNNNNNNNNNNNNNNNNNNNNNNNNNNNNNNNNNNNNNNNNNNNNNNNNNNNNNNNNNNNNNNNNNNNNNNNNNNNNNNNNNNNNNNNNNNNNNNNNNNNNNNNNNNNNNNNNNNNNNNNNNNNNNNNNNNNNNNNNNNNNNNNNNNNNNNNNNNNNNNNNNNNNNNNNNNNNNNNNNNNNNNNNNNNNNNNNNNNNNNNNNNNNNNNNNNNNNNNNNNNNNNNNNNNNNNNNNNNNNNNNNNNNNNNNNNNNNNNNNNNNNNNNNNNNNNNNNNNNNNNNNNNNNNNNNNNNNNNNNNNNNNNNNNNNNNNNNNNNNNNNNNNNNNNNNNNNNNNNNNNNNNNNNNNNNNNNNNNNNNNNNNNNNNNNNNNNNNNNNNNNNNNNNNNNNNNNNNNNNNNNNNNNNNNNNNNNNNNNNNNNNNNNNNNNNNNNNNNNNNNNNNNNNNNNNNNNNNNNNNNNNNNNNNNNNNNNNNNNNNNNNNNNNNNNNNNNNNNNNNNNNNNNNNNNNNNNNNNNNNNNNNNNNNNNNNNNNNNNNNNNNNNNNNNNNNNNNNNNNNNNNNNNNNNNNNNNNNNNNNNNNNNNNNNNNNNNNNNNNNNNNNNNNNNNNNNNNNNNNNNNNNNNNNNNNNNNNNNNNNNNNNNNNNNNNNNNNNNNNNNNNNNNNNNNNNNNNNNNNNNNNNNNNNNNNNNNNNNNNNNNNNNNNNNNNNNNNNNNNNNNNNNNNNNNNNNNNNNNNNNNNNNNNNNNNNNNNNNNNNNNNNNNNNNNNNNNNNNNNNNNNNNNNNNNNNNNNNNNNNNNNNNNNNNNNNNNNNNNNNNNNNNNNNNNNNNNNNNNNNNNNNNNNNNNNNNNNNNNNNNNNNNNNNNNNNNNNNNNNNNNNNNNNNNNNNNNNNNNNNNNNNNNNNNNNNNNNNNNNNNNNNNNNNNNNNNNNNNNNNNNNNNNNNNNNNNNNNNNNNNNNNNNNNNNNNNNNNNNNNNNNNNNNNNNNNNNNNNNNNNNNNNNNNNNNNNNNNNNNNNNNUGGCAUCACAGAACCUUCAAAUCGAUCAACUUGGCUUUAAUGAUAAUAUUUGUGGAAACCAUAGGAUUUCAAGCUCUAAAAAUAGUGUAUAUUGUUAUAUGCAAAACUUCUAUUUCUUCCUAAAAAUAAAUAUUAUCGAUCCGCUAGAUUUAUACUAUUUUUUUAGCAUCAAAUUACAUUGCGAUUAUUGAAAAUUCAUUUUAGAGCCAUCAUGGAGAUUUCUAUACCCAAAAUGCUUUCUAUUGGAAGAUUCAAGGUGAGCUUCUACAUUAUUUUCAUAAGGCCUAGGCCUUAUAAAAACUACAUCCUCAACAAUGCGCCAAACUCUACAUCCAACUGAGCUUCACCUCUACCCAUGGAAAGCCAAACUCUACAUCCAACUGAAGGUUCACCUCUACCCAUGGAAAAGCCCACUGACACACCAAGCUCUUGUUUGAAGAUAGACUUUGCGGAAGGCUACUACUGUAUUGAUAAUUUUAUUUUACUUUUCAUAUUUAUAUUUUUUUUUUCCUUAAUCAUGAUCAUCUUAGCCUAGAUCGUGAAUGCCAAAAAAUUUGGAAUAAAAUCCAUCUUUAAGAUUGACUUUAAAGGGGUCCGCAUGUGUACAAUAUGAGUCGGCUGAAUCAUAGAAACCCGUCCUUUUUUAAAUGAACAAAUGUAAUUGGAUGUACCAACUUUGAUCGUCAAUAGAACUUUUUAACAUUGUCAAAAAGAACAGAGAAAAAAAGAAAGCUUUUGUAGGACCCAAAGGCCAAUGAAUUAUGUAGAGAUGAAUUCUUGUGUGACAAAAGAAAUUUAGAAUUUGGGACGUAAUGUUUAAGGAAUAGACUAAUCUUAAUUUUAAAAAAAUAACUUGCACUCUCUAUCUACGUACUUCAAAGAAAAUAAUGUCUUAGUAUUAAAUAGAGACCGUCCAACUUUUGGAGGGUGUGAUCUAAGUGUUAGAAAGUGUGCAAUUCAGAUUUUUUUUUUUCUUUUAAAAAUAGUCAUCUAGUGAUUUUUACGUGGUUUUCAAAAUUUUAGAUAAAAAAAGUCAACUCAAGUAUUCAAUGUUGGGUUUGAUGCUAUCCCAAAUCACCUACAUAAGCAAAUCUCAUAUUAUAUGGGGUUGGGAUGGUACCUCUUGUAGAAAGUUUCUUGAAAGUUUCUUAUGGAGAGAAACAUUGGGAUGAUGACUCUUAUAGACUCCUCAAAAUUGAGAGAACCUGUUUUCUUGUAGAGAAGCAUUGCCAUGAAGAUAUUGGGCGGUUUUCCAUUUUAGUUAGAGAGUCAGUUUUUGGUUGCAUGGAUGGUUUCUUAUAGACAAGUAGUUACAUGAAAAAUUUUGGGUUGUUUUUUGUUUUAGUUAAAGAGAUAAUCAGUUUUUCAUUAUUUGGUUUCAUGUAGAGAAGCACUUUCAUGGAGAUUUUUUGUGGUUUUUCGUUUUAGUUAGAGAUAGUCAGUUUUUCGUUGCUUAUCUAUCUGGUGUUAUAAUGUUUAUCAAAAAUAAAGAGAAAAAAGAGCCAUAUGUGAUGUCGGUCGGGAGAGUAGUUUAAAAGGGUUUGCUCGACUAGGUUUUAUAGACGGUUAAGAGGUAACUCUAUGUUCCAAAAUCUUUAAUGUAAUUUUCAAUUUACCAUACCCAUGAAUGUAGGGAACCACAUAAAAUUCGGGGUUCUUUUUUCUCUUAAUUCUUUCCUGCUUUAUUUUUCUUGCUUGUGUCUUCUAUCGGGUUUAGAGCUUCCGCACACAACAUUCCACCCGAGGGAGUAGGUACACAUUUUGCUCCCUCGAGAACAUACUAUAAUUCUAAUAGUUUAUUUCUUGAAGAAAGAUAGGUUGCUUGUUUUGGAAGGAUUAUCAGAACUCAAUCCCAUAUUGAACGCCUUAAGACUUGAUCAAAUUAUUAAAAGAUAAUUUCCCAAGAGGCAUCCCUAUGCUUUGAAUGAUUUGUUUUUAAUCUCCUGUAACAAGAAUAUACCUUGAGAAGUCAGAUGGGUGGUGAGAUUGAGAUAAGGCCAUAUUCUUCAACUUCAAAGCAAUUUUUUAAUAAGAGUGAUAAGAUCAUAUGUAGGUUGGAAACGUUAUUUUUCAUGUUCCGUAAUGACGAAGGACCACCCAACGAUUAUUCAAAUAUGAGGGCAGUAGUUAAAGACGUGCAGGCCAAAGUAUAAACCGCAGAGCAAUGCCUUUAUAAAUCUCUGAACCAUUUGCUUCCUGCAUCACAAGGAUUGAGGGAGAGAAAGAGGAGAUCCAGUGAUAUAUUGACAUGGCAGAGUGCAAAGGUAAGGACUCCAUUGUUAUGGCAACUUGCAUGAGAGAGAGAGAGGACCAUCUUGUGAAACACAAGAGAGAGAGAGGACCCCAUCUUGUAAAAAACAAGAUAGAGAGAGAGGACCAUGCUUCAGUUCCCUCUUGCACGUAUGCUGCAAGCCUGCACAAGUGCAGGAUUGCAUAACUAUCAUUUUCCUUUUCAUUUGAUCUUCUUCAUUGUUGACUGCACGUCUAUGUGGUCCAAAGGGACUAAAAUAUAAGAUGGGUCUCCAGAAGAAAAACACGGAUUUCUUUGUUGCUAAAAGUUUCCAAACCCCUUUUGUUUUUUGUUCUCUACCAAAGUCUGCCAUCCACGUGUUGAAGGGCGUUCAGGCCUUUUUUCAAGGCCCCAAUCAAACAAGGGCACAUUACGUUGACAUAAAAAAAAAUUAUAUUUUAUUUUUAAAAUAUUAUUUUUAAGAUAAAAUAUCUUUAUAUCUUUUAUUUUUAAGUUUUAUAUAUCGAAAGACCCAAAAUUUGAAAAUGGAUCAUAAAAAUUUUAAGUUUUAUAUUUUUUAACUCUUUAAGCUAACUUUAUUCUCUUUAAACCUAUUUUUUAACUCCAAACAAAUAUAAAAAAGACAUCAUUUCUAAACACCAUCAUUUCUCUCUUUUCAUGUAAUUCUUUCUUAAAUCUCUUUACCUAUUUUUCCACUCUCUCCCAUGUCUCUCACUCUCUCUCCCCUAUUAGAGAGACAAAGAGAGUGAAUGUUAGAGAGAGAGAAAAUUUUGAGGGGAAUAUAUCACAAAAAGAGAUGAAGGGGUUACAAUGAGCAUGUUUUUUUUAAUAUUUAUUAUGACUAAAAAAAUAGUUAAAAGUUGAAAAAGUUAGUCCAAAGACUAGGAGAUAUAUUUUAAAUCUUUGGAUCUAUUGAUAAAUAAAAAUAAAAAAUAGAUGAUACGAUGAUAUUUCCCCCUAUUUUUAAUUUUUAUUUAAAAUCAUGCCGUUAUCCAAACGAUUUAAAGUCGGUUUUACAAGAUUUUUGAAUUGUAAUUCAAAAAUAUUCCAAUUUUGAAUACAUCUAAACCAGCACUAAAGUUUCCAAAUCUUUUUUCUUUUUUUUUUUCUCUCUCCCAAAAUCUCCCAUCCACAAGGGUGUUCAGCCUUUUUUUCAAGGGCCCCAAUCAAACAAGGGCACAUUCAAUGGCCCAAUCAAACAGGUUUUUUUUUAAUUUUUUAACUACAAAGUACUAAUCUAUCAAAUUGACCUCAAGAUGAUUUAAAGAUGAGUUGAGAGUUUUUGGAGUCCAGAAGAAAAAAAAAAAAAAAGAAGUUUAUUUUAUCAUUUGCUUGUUCAACAUGACAAACUACAACUAUGAAAUGAAGUGGCCGUCUUUCCGAAUGAGCCAAAACACAUAUAAAUCAGAACAAAACUUAGCUUUAUGUAUGUGAUUUUGUAUAGUAACUUAGGUGCACGUAAAUGGACUUAAUCUGCAGGGAAGAGGUCAUGGCCGGAGUUGGUGGGAAGCAACGGUCAGGAUGCAGCGACGACUAUCGAGGAGGAGAAUUGUUCUGUGAAAGCCAUAGUCGUGACCGAAGGCACCAUCGUUGAUCACUUAUUUCGGUGUGACAGGGUUCGGGUUUGGGUAGAUGAAUGAGGUUGUGACACGUGUGCCCUCUAUAGGCUAAGAAACUAAUAAAGAUGGUGAUAUGUGUGUAUGAAAUAAGAGCUUACCAUUUGCAUAUAUGUGUGUCUAUGCAAAUAAUGGUGAACAUUGUCAAUAUAUGGUGACUAUUUAAUGCUUAUUGUGAACCAUGGACCACCGUGUCUUACGAAUUGGAUUUACAUCUGCCAUUACAACGCAUGUGCAUGUGCUUACGAAAUAGGACAGGACACUGAACGGCCACGGGUUCAAUUGAAUUAAAAGUUGGUCUGAUUACUUAAAUUUUGAAUUAAAGUUGGUCUGAUUUCUUAUAAUUUUUUUAAAAAAUAAAAAAUUAGGCUUCAAUGUCUUUACAAAUAGAUGCACAAUUCGUAAGAGAGGACUUAACAUAGGGGGUUAGUGAAAUACUAGCGCUCAUGAGGUAAGGGUAUAUUUUCCGCCAAUAUGUCAAAAGGGCACUUGAUGACCUCAUUCGUAAGCAAUUUUGUAGAAAAAUUACCAAUAUCUUAUAAGGCAUUUUGGGCGAAAUAGUACGUAGCGUUCAAACAUUCAAAAGUAUCUUGUGUGCAAUGUAACAUUACUAGAAGGAAAAAGUUUAUGUAAGGUUACAAUCUUAUACUAUAGAAGUAAAGUGCAUCCUAAAAAUCUAGUAGAAAAGAGUAUUCCAAAGUUAGAAAACCUUUCAAUUCAUAAUAUCGACCUCGAGAAAAAUUCAAUUCUUGAAAAUAGUGCAGCUUAUAAUAAAUUAUUUGGACCAUCUGUUUUCAAGAUUUUCAAGUGUUUAUAUGUAUGUUCGAUUUACACAAUUUUUAGAAUUUAAAAUUUACAAUUAAGGUUAAAUUUCUGACACCGGACCUAUGUCUUCAAGCAAAAUUUAGAGGUGUGACUUACUUGUAUAAAGUGGGCUAUACAAAUAUCACCCUUAGUAGAAUAUGCUAUCUAAAGAUACCAAUAUGAUUUAGUGAAAUAUUAUCCAAAUAUCUCAUGAGAUAAUAUACAAUGAGACUAUUUAUCUUUGGUACACGGAGGUCACAAUCAUUCUUAGCUAUUGAAUGUGAUAUUUAAUAGAUUGAAGUUUGUCAGAACAGUCAAAAAGUUUUAUUUUGGAUAUUGAAUGUGAUAUUUAAUCAAGGGUGUGGUUUCUACAAGGUUCAAACCUUAAACAAUCCAAUUACAGCACGACUCCAAAUUUUAUCAUGAAAUGUAAUUUUGGUGUAAAACAUUAUUAAGAUUAUCUCAAAAUAUAUUUUCAUAUCUAAUUAUAAAAUUUUAAAUUCCAAAAAUAAUUAAAAUCAGAUAGAUCUAUAAAUAUAUAAAAAUCUUGAAAAUGGACGAUCUAGAUAAUGUAUUGCAAGAUGCACUAUUUCUAGGACUCAAAUUCUUUUUUUCCCCCAUAUUCAUACAUAUUGAUGUCGAGAUGAUCAAUUAGAGGAUAUUUCAAUAUGAAAAUAACCUUUUUUCGAUUGAUUAUUUAGGUACAUCUUUAAUUCUACAUUUUAAGGUUGCAACCUUAUACAAACUUUUUCCGUUAACCAAAUCAAUUUUUUGAAAUGGUUGAGCGUGCAUUUGCGUAGUGUAAUUUAACAAAUUCCACAUUCACAAACAACCCACAUACCUUGAGUUGUAUUCAGAUUUUUUAUUCCAAACGGGACAUCAAAUUGUUGUCUCGGGUCGGGUCUUCCUCCGAAAUUGCCCUAAUCAAGUCUAGGAAAUCAACUCAAGAAUAGAUUCCAUUCGUUUGUUCAAUUAAUUUGAUCAUACUACCAAGAAUUACAACAAUUCAAUUGACAUUAUAAAUACCAUCUCAAAUGUGAACCUUCAAGCUCUAUCGCGACUAUUGGAGGGAGAGAUUUAAGUGUUAAAAAAUGUGCAAUUCCAAUUUUUUUUUCUUCUAAAAAUAGUCAUCUAGUGAUUCUUAGGUUGUUCCUAAAAUUUCAAAUAAAGAAAAAUCAUCCCAAAUAAGUCUUCCACCCGAGGGAGUAGGUGCACAUUUUGCUGCCACGGUAGCAUGGUAUACAUGCUCAUAAUUUAUUUCUUGCCGAGGGAGUAGGUGCACAUUUUGCUGCCACGGAGCAUAGUAUACCUGCUCAUAGUUUAUUUCUUGAAGAAAGAUAUGUUGCUCGUUUUGGGAGGAUUAUGAGCACUUAAUCCCAUUAAUACUUGUUCAAAUUCGCCAAAGAUAAUCUCCCAUGAGGCAUCACUAUGCUUUGAAUGGUUUGUUAACUUGUUUGUAUUCUUCUACAAGAAUAUGCCUUGAGAUUCAAAGAGGCAAAUUUUUUAAUAAUGAGUGAUAAGAUCAAAUGCGGGUUGGAAAUGUUAUCUUUUCACGUUCCGUAGUGAAGAAGGACCACUCAAUGAGUAUUCAAAUAUUGAGGGCUGUAGUUAAAGAGGUGCAGCUCAUACUGUAGCGUAGUUAAAGACGUGCGGCCCAUACUACAUACCACAGAGCAAUGCCUUAAUAAAUCUAUGUAGCAUUAUUUGUAAAAUCUAUAUCAUCCAACAAAAAUAAAUGUUAUUGAACAUAACCAACUUACUUGUACACGUAAGGAUGCCAACCAUUCUUUUUGUUUACUAUCUAACCCAAACCAAGAAAACUAAUCGUUACGCUGUUGAUUUAACCGCUUUAUGCCAGAUCCAAACAAACUUUUACGAGGGAAAACUCGGACAAUAUCAUAAAAACCAUGGUUCUAAACUCCCUAAGCCAACACGAGAUCUCAUGUCGUGCACCGUGGAGGGUUCUCUUGUGAACUUGAGUGAGUAUUUGCCUCCUGCAUCACAAGGAUUUAGAAAAAGAAAGAGGAGAUUGAGCAUAUUGACAUGUCAGGUAAAAGGAUUCCAUUAUCAUUGCAACGUGCAUGAGCGAGAGAGAGAGAGGAACAUCUUGUGAAAAACAAGAGACAGAGAGAGAUGACCAUGCUUCCGUUGCCUGCACAGUGCAUAAAUAUCAUUUUCCUUUUCAUUUUACCUUCUUCAUUGUUUACAGGAGACCUCUAUGGUAGUCCAAAGGGACCAACAUGUAAUAUGGUUCUGCUGAAAAAAAAGGGAGUUCUUUGACGUGAAACUUUCCAAAUCGUUUUUAUGUUAUCUGCCAAAGUCUUCCAGCGAUGUGUGAAGGGCGUACACGCGUUUUUCUCAAGGGCUCAAAUUAAACAAGGACGCAUCCAAUGGCCACAAAAGAGAUUUGUAUAUAUAUAUUUUUUAAUUUUUGUUUAAGAUGGUACUUAUCUAAAGAAUAGGUAAUAAAUGGUGAAUCAAAUAAAAAUAAUAAAUAUAUUUUUUUUGUACCAAAAUAUCUUUAAAUUGUUUGCGAAGCAUUUUGGUCAACUUUUCGUUGAAAAUAUUUUUUAUUUUCCUAUUUUACAUUUCUAUAUAAAAACAAAAUUAUACUUUUUUUAGAUAACUAUUUUUAAAUUAAAAAUAAAAAUAACAUUUGAAAUUCUUUUUGAGCCAUGAAAAAAAAAUACUAUGUUCAAUCUGAACUAUGGAAGAGUGUUUAUGCAUGAUUCAAUGGUCCACAUCAUGUGAGACUCUAUACUAUCCGUUGUUCUUUUGGUAGUCCCGUAAAAAUUGAGUUUGUUUAGCCAUCAAAUAGAAGGUCGCGUGUGUAACUCGGAUUUUUUUUUAUUUUUUAUGUAGUUCCGAUGUAGUUAUUUUUCAAAUUGACCUCAAAGAAGAUUUAAAGAUGAGUCCAGAGCUAAAUUAGCCAGGGGUGUACUACUAGUGGUGUUCAAAAAAUAUUAAAAAAAAAUCCAAACCGAAACAUGACAUGUUUUAUUUUUUGAAUUUUUUUGAAUUUUACAUUUAACCGCUAAAGAUGAUUCAGAUUCUUCUUAUGCUGAUGAUAAAUGGGAAGGAGUCAGAGAGAAAAAUAACACAAUUACAAAAAAGAGGGUAAGGUUAGAGAGAGGAGUUUGAGAUGGAAAAGACAUGACAAGAAAGAAGAGGGUUUGGAAAGAGAAAAGUCAUGGUUAGAGACAAAGAAAUUAAAAAAAGUUAGGGAGAUGGUGAGAAAGGACCUGGGAUGCAAAAAUGAAGGCAAAAGAAUACUUGAGAUAUAAGAUAUCAGAACAUGUCUGGGGAAUAGAAGUUGCAGCUUUUUUUUUUUUUCUUUUUGUUUGAAUAAUUUACGUACAGACAAUAAAAUUAUAAAUAAAAUACAAAAUGCUCUAUUUAUAUGCCGAAUUUACAAAAGAAAGUCAGUCAACCUUUUUUUUUAUUUUUCUACAAAAUUACCUUUCAACCAAUCCAAAUUUUAAUUAUUUUUUAUUCAAGUAAUUUUUUUUUUUUUCAUUACUAUGACAAUGCCUCAUGCUUUAAGGCACCACCCUCAAGCUUUAAGGCAUCAAAAUUGCCUCAAUGUUUUCAUUAGUUUUUCAUUUGUAAUUCUACAUUUUAAGGCUGCAACCUUAUAUAAAUUUUUUCUCAUUUUUAAAAGUUCUUGCAACCUUAUAUAAACUUUUUCCCAUUUUUAAAAGUUCUUCAAAAGUGGAGCAUAUUUUAAGCGAUUUUUUAACUUUUUAAUUUUUUUAAAAUUGGUAACACGUAUCCCAACUAAAGUUUAGGCUUUUAAUUUGACUUUACAUAUUAAAAAACUAUUAACGAUUUUAAAAAACGGUUUAGGCUUUUAUUCUCACUUUACACGUUCAAAAACUACUAACAAUUUAAAAAAACGGGUAGGGACCAUUAUCCCAACCGAAUUACCUAAAAAAAAUAAAAAUAAUUGGUGUAUAUAGAUGCGUUUGUGCUGUUUCAUUUGUUAUUUUUCUCUUUCUUGAAAGCUAACUUGGACUUUGUUUUUCUCCUCCUUCUCUCCCUGUGAUUGACUCUUUCUAAAUCAUUUCGAAAUUUUGUUGAUUUUACACUAUUUUAUUGAUCCCUGCGAGACUAUUUUUUUUUUUUCUCACUGUUUGACCCCUCUUGAAUUCAUAGCGAAAUAGAACAUGUUAGAGAAGUGAAAAUAUGUGAAGAAAAAGUAGGAAGUCAUUUAACAUACCACUUAUUAAUCUCAAAUAACAUUACAGAGAAAUUUGGACAGAAACAACGGUGCUCGAAUCUUUCUAUAAUGCGUAUAAUGUGCACGGCUCCGAAUUAUUACAAUAAAUAAACCUAGCAUCCACUUGUUUUAGAGGACUAAUAAUGAGAGGGGAGACGGAGACAGAGAGAGAGAAAGGAUUUUGGACCAAACAUCCAUUUAUUUUAGUGAGAGAAAGAGGCACAUAUUUUAGUGAAUGAAAGAGGGAGAAGGAGAGACGUACAGAGUGAUAAGGAGACACAGGCGACCUAGAGAGAGAGAGAGAGAGAGAGAGAGCCAAAAUCCAGUUACUUUGAGGACGGAGGUGAUGAUAUAAUUGAACUAUCCAAUGACAGGGGUUUGCCUCACGUUGCCAUACUCAUCAACCCAAACCACCACCCUAUCGCACUUAAAAAGUGUAGCGAUGGCCCUAUCUGAGGGCACAAUCGACGUGCGCACCUCUGGAUUUUCUCUUCUGAUAAUCGCCGCUGCAUCUACACCGUUCAUUCCAACCAAUUCAGGCCACGAUCUCUUCCCUGUCACAUUCAUCCAAAUCACGUUCCAAUAAACACAUAAUCCCAUUUU